RNAcentral lists this long non-coding RNA (58122 nucleotides) under Gossypium raimondii (Peruvian cotton). RNAcentral's name for it is "long non-coding RNA (GRAI_LNC005820)". The stretch from base 46167 to 46273 matches the Rfam family "Plant small nucleolar RNA R71". Lineage: Eukaryota; Viridiplantae; Streptophyta; Magnoliopsida; Malvales; Malvaceae. The record is from RNAcentral.
UAGAUUAUGGGAUGCAUUUCUGGACUUAGGUAUGAGAAUAUGACUUUCAAAGACGAAAAAAGAAUAUAAAAAAAAAUGGAACAUAUCCUUGUUAGACAUAUGCUCUUAUCUGUCAUUCAAACUCAAAGUUGGAGUAACAUAGCUAGGAAGUGAAAUAACAACUUUAGAUCAAUGAAUAUGGCUGCAACUGAGCAGCAGCAACAUACUCUAGUAGACAACAAUGAAAGGGGCAUCUCCUGUAACUCUUUAUAAAGUAACUGCGCCAAAAUGAUAAGCGAAGUAAUCAAUUUCUGCCAUUAAACUACAUUUUAUGCUUAAGCCCAUUACUAAAAGUAGGAUAUUUUUAACACUCAUACCUUAUGGAACACAAAAUCAUUUCUGUGAUUCUUUGAACAUACUUUUCUAAAGCAAAUAUCUCCACUUUUCCUUCAAUUUUGGCCUUUAUGUAGUAUGUAUCCUUGAGCUGAAACUCUUCAAUAUGAAUAGACUAUAGAGUAGAAGGAUUAAAUAAGUUCAGGAAAAUACAGAUUUAAGGCUCUUUCCAUAGCAAUGGAUUGAGUGAUUGCUGCAUCCGCUGUAAUUUCAUCAUUCAUCCCCUUAUAUAAAAAUGGAAGAAGUAUUCCAAAGUUCUGUGCUUUUUUUUCCUUCAAUCAAACACAUGUAAGACAUAGACUCACGCAGUUAGUUGACAGGUUGUGCCAUAUCUUUCUCCAGUUUCCUACACCCAUGAUGCUCUGUUCCUCUAAGUAAGGUUAGUUUGCUAGAGAAAAACAAGUAGUACAACAAUAAUAGGGAAUCAAGUACUUAAGAAAAAUGAACAAUAAGAAAGACACGAUAGAAAGCAACGAUACGAUAAAACAAAAAUGGGAUAUAACCUUUCAGUGGAAAGAGUUGGAAGCGAAUCUCUGAGUUGUUUCUUUCUAUCAUAACAAAAUAAUGUCAGUACCACUAGUGAUCAUAAGAUUGGCCUUUGUCCUAUUAAAUCAUUUUCUCAACCAUUCACAUUAUUCAUUUUCAAUUAAAUACAAGUAUGACUCACUAAUUUAAUUGUAACAAAAGUAGUAUUUGAGGGAAAAACUUAUCAAUUUACUUAUAAUAAUAAUAUAUAUACUAGUUAUAAGAGUUUAACUAGGAAAAGAAGUAGGCUUUCAUAUAAACUCUAACACUACUUAUCUAAUUAUAUUCUCAACAUUAAAAAAAAAAGGAAUUAAGCUUAUUUUUACUUAAAAGACUUUUGGAAUCUCACAUCAAAACUGUUAACAAACGGCUUUUGAAGUAAAAAUGGAGAAUGUCCCUUAUCUUUGGACACAAGUCUCAUGAUUACUUUUCCAAUAAAGGAAAUAUUAUUGAGGUAUAAUUCUCUGUGCAGAUCCUUGAAAGACUACCAAAUUCUAAAGACUUGAGUUGGGAGAAAACAAUGCCAUCCACGACUUCUUCAGUGUAGAAAAAGCUAUGAUUUCUUCAAACAUUUGGCAAUCAAUAACACUCAUUCUUGUGAGUUACACCAGCUUUUAGCUAUUGUGAAUGUUACUAAAUUUUUGAAUCCGUGGCAUUCUGAUGCCUCCAAAGUUGUCAAAUGUUUGAAUGACACAAAAGAUGGCACUAAAUUCUUUAAUUUACCGCAUCCCAACACCAAUAAAAAACUUCUGCAAGUGACAGUUUGUUCUUCUAAAGAUGUGUUAACUCAAAAAGAUAAUACAACCUUAAUUCCUUCAAGCAAGCAAGUGUUCCUACAUGUUCAUUUUCAUCUCUUACUCCUUCACAUGGAAGUAACGCAUUGAAGGUAUCAUUUUUCCAAAAGAAAGGUAUUCAAGAUUUGGUGAUGACUAAAUGAACCAAUCUGAGAUAGUAACUGUUGCGAAGUGGCCAUUCAUGAGUGGUGAACUCUUCCCGCGAAGCUGCGAGCUCACUUGAAACUGCGAGCUCACCUAAAACUGCGAGUUCAACCUAAUUGCGAGCUUAUCAAAGCAUGAGUCGUUAACAUCUUUGGUGAAUCUCCAGUUAAAGUGCGAUCAGGGUUCACAUAUGUUGAGAUAAAAUGUUUUGUUUAGUCUCCUUAUUUGAGUUUACUUGUCAAAGCAAGAGGAGUUAGUAUUGAUUUGAUGUUUUUAGGUACUAAUUUACCAAAUCGGUUUGUGUAUAAGCUUUAAUUUUGUAUUUUCAUGGUGUAUUAGUGGGGUUUGUUGAAUUAUCUGUAACCACUACACCUAUAUAUAUUGUAUUUCAUGUGUAAAGAAGAUGAUGAGAGAAUUUGAUAGCAGUUCAAAAAUUAUGCUAAGUAUUUUCCUUUUUUUUUUCUCUGUAUUUGUUCUCUCAACUUCUCAGAUCGCCAACAAUUACUAUCAAGAGCCUAAGUCUAGCAUAUGACUUUUUGGGAAGUUAUUGAUUCAGAUAGAGAACCACCACUAUUGCGAGUUAAUCUAACUAUAGUUCAAAUUAGACAGCACAACGAUGAAGCUACUAAGAAGUAUAAGGCUUUAACCUGCCUUCAGAAUGGUGUGUCUGAUGUUAUUUUCGCAAGAAUUAUGGCUUGUGAAACUCCUAAACAAGUCUGAGAUAGAUUGAAGGAGAAGUUCUAAGGGACAAAUAAGACAAGAGAACAACAGCUUUUGAAUCUACAAAGAGACUUUAAAAAUCUGAAGAUGAAGGAAACUGAAACUAUCAAGCAGUAUACAAACAAGAUUAUGUCUAUUGUCAACAACAUAAGACUGCUUGGUGAUCAGUUCAAUGAUCAAAGGGUCGUUGAAAAACUCAUCACAAUUUUACCAGAGAAGUAUGAGUCCAAGAUCUCAUCCUUGGAGGACUCAAGAGAUUUGACAACAAUCUCUCUAUCAGAGCUCAUAAAUGCUCUAUAUGCGCAAGAUCAAAGAAGAGCGAGUAGAGAAGAGGGGCACGCAGAAGGUGCUUACCAAGCAAGGAACAAAAAAACUCCAUGUUUUUCAAGCAACAAAGGCAAGAAGAAACGGAAUCAAGAAAAAGGGAGGCCAAAAAUAGAUGGUGAAAAGAAAAAGUAUCCACCAUGCUCGAAUUGCAAAAAGAUGGGUCAUUCAGAAAAGUUUUGCUAGACAAGACCUGGUGUGCAAUGUAAAAACUGUAAGUAAUUUGGCGAUGAUUUUAGAAUUUGUAAAAACAAAAUGCAGCAAAAAAAAUAGUAGUCUAAUCAAGCUCAAGCUGCUGAUGAAGAUCAAGUUUAGGAGGAGCUCGCAUUCACUGCCUCAUGUUUUACAGUCAACAACCAUGUAAAGAAAAAUUGGUUGAUUGACAGUGGUUGUACAAACCAUAUGGUUUUAGAUGAAAGCAUGUUCAAAUAGAUUAAUAGAUCAUUCAGUUCGAGAAUCAGAGUUGGAAAUGGCCAAAACAUUGAAGCCAAGGGAAAGGGAGAUGUUCAGGUUAGCACUCUUACAGGUACAAAACUUAUUACUAAUGUUCUUUUUGUACCUGAUAUAGAUCAGAACUUGCUCAGUGUUCGUUAGCUUGUUGAAAAGAAUUAUUUUUUUAUUUUUUAAAAGAACAAGUGUGUUGUAUCUGAUUCAAUUCAACGUGAGCUUAUGUUAGUGAAAAUGAGUGACAAGAGCUUUGUUCUAAACUGGAACCUAGUUACUUUUAAAGCUUACUCUAGUUCAACUGAUGGUACUGACUUGCGGCACAAGAGACUGGGGCAUGUCAAUUACAGAUCGGUUAAUAUGUUGUAUAAGCAUGGUUUGGUUAAAAACAUGUCUGAAGUUAACGACCGAACUGCAGUGUGUGAGGUAUGUCAGUUUAGGAAGCAAGUAAGAGUUCAAUUCCCUGCGAAUAAGGCAUGGUGAGCUACUGAGAAUCUACAUCUAGUUCACAUUGAUAUAUGUGGGCCAAUAAAGAUUGCUUCACUUAGAAAUAACAUGUACUUCAUUUUUUAUUGAUGAUUACACUAGAUAUUGUUAGGUGUAUUUUUUGAAGGCCAAGUCUGAAGUUGCUGAGGUCUUUUGGAAGUUUAAGGCCACCGUUGAGAAUCAAGCUUGUUGUAAGCUGAGAAUACUCAAAUCUGAUAAUGGGAAUGAGUACACUUCUGAGAAGUUUCAGAAGUUUUGUGAAGAUGUUAGGAUAGAGCAUCAGUUGACUAACACAUACACUCCUCGAUAAAAUUGUGUGUGUGAAAGGAAAAAUAGUACAGUUAUGGAUAUGUCAAGAUGUUUGUUGUUCGAGAAAAAGCUACCAAACCAGUUGUGGGCUGAAGCUGUGAACAACUCUGUUUAUCUGCUCAACAGAUUGCCAACAAAAGCUGUGAAGGGUAUGACACCGUUUAAAGGAUGGCUCAGGUUCAAGACAUCAGUGUCACACCUAAAAAUUUUUGGUUGUUUGUGCUAUACUUUCAUUCCUACUUUUAAAAAGAAUAAGCUGGAAAGAAGAGCUUAACCAAGUAUCUUUGUUGGCUACAAUAGUUGCAAAAAAAGGGGUAUAGGAUUUUUGAUCCUUUCAGUAGUAAAGUGUUUGAAAGCAAAGAUGUGAAGUUCAAUAAGGAAGCUUUGUGGAAUUGGGAAGCUACAGAAGCUGAGAUGGUUGAACAAAGUCAGAUUGAGCUAAAUGUACGAACUGAUGAAGUUCAAAACCAAGAUGCUGAUUGUUUUGAUGAUCUACCAGUCAGAGGCACUAAGCCUAUAUCUAAGGUAUAUGAGAGAUGUAAUGUUUUCAUAUUAGAUCUUGCAAGCUAUGAAGAGGCAAAAAAAGAAAAUGGUUGGAUAACAGCUAUGGAAGCUGAGAUAGCCAUGAUAAAAAGAAUGAGACCUAGGAGUUGGUUGAAAAUCCAAUUCUCAAGAAGGUCAUUGGUGUAAAAUGGGUUUACAGAACUAAGUUAAAUGUUGAUGGUUCAAUGAACAAACUCAAAGCCAGACUAGUUACAAAAGGAUUUGGUCAAUGAUAUAGUGUUGACUAUACUAAAACCUUUGUACCAGUAGCUAGACUAGACACCAUCAGGCUGCUACUGACUAUGGCAUCUCAAAAAAGAUGGAAGAUACAUCAACUUGAUGUAAUGUUUGCAUUCCUCAAUGGUAUUUUGAAGGAGGAAGUUUAUGUUGAACAGUCAUAGGGAUUUGUAGCUAAUGGCGAAGAGUAUAUAGUGUGUAAGCUAAAGAAGGCUUUGUAGGGGUUGAAACAAGCUUUGCGAGCCUGGUAUGAGAGAGUUGACAAGCAUCUGGUGAGCUUGGGGUUUGAAAGGAAUGACGACGAACCCGCAUUGUAUGAAAAAAGAAGGAAAUGAGACCUCACUGAUAGUAUCCUUAUAUGUUGACGACUUGCUAGUGACUGGUAGUGGUGGAAAAGUGCUAACUGAGUUUAAGAAGUAGAUGUGAGCUGAAUUUGAGAUGUUGAUUUUGGAGACAUGACUUAUUUUCUUGGUCUGGAAAUGUUCCAGUCAGAUCAAGGUAUCUUCAUCAGUCAAAAGAGCUUUGCAUUAAAGAUCUUGAACGGAUUUUGCAUGGAAAACUGCAGGCCAGCAGGAACUACCAUUACUUAAGGUGAAAAACUCUUAAGCCAUGGUGAUUUUGAAAAAGUUGAUGAAAGUAAUUAUAGGAGUCUUAUAGGAUGUCUACUUUAUUUGACAACAUCGAGGCUUGACAUUAUGUUUAUUGUAAAUUUGCUUUCAAGGUUUAUGCACAGUUGCAAUGUUGUGCAUUUUAAAGCUGCGAAAUGAGUUCUCAGGUAUGUUAAAGGAACCCUGAGUUAUGUAAUUAAGUAUGCGAAGGAAAAUGAACUGAAGUUGAGUGGUUUCAUAGACAGUGAUUGGGUUGGUUCUGUUGAAGAUAUGAAGAGCACUUCAGGGUAUUUCUUCACCUUGGGUUCAAGUGUAUUCAAUUGGAGCACAAAAAGCAAGAAACUGUUGCACAAUCAACCGUUAAAGCUAAGUACAUCACAGUAGCUACAACAGUAAGCCAAGCACUUUGGCUAAGGAAGUUGAUGUCUAAUUUAAAUCUUAAGCAAGUGGAGGCAACAUAGAUAUAUUGUGAUAAUCAAUCUGCUGCUGCAUUUACAAAGAAUUCCGUCUUCUAUGGAAAGAUAAAGCACUUCAAGAUAAAGUAUCAUUUUGUUAGAGAAGUUGAGCAAUUGAAUGAAAUGAAGUUGGUUCAUUUCAGUUCAGAUGUUCAACUUGUUGAUAUUCUCAUAAAACCUCUUGGAAGAAUGAGGUUCGAGAGGCUAAGAGAUGGAUUCACAACAUUUUGGCCAAUGAGGAGUGUUGCGAAGUGGCCAAUCAUUCAGUGGUAAACUUUUUCUGCGAAGCUGCAAGCUCACUUGAAACUGUGAGCUCAAGCAAGUCUUUGAGCUCUACAUUUACGAGCUCACCUAAAACUGCAAGCUUAACCUAGUUGCGAGCUCAUCAAAGCUUGAGCUAUUAACAUCUUUGGUGAACCCCCAGUUAAAGUGCGAUCAGGGUUUACAUAUGCUGAGAUAAAAUGUUUUGUUUAGUCUGCUUAUUUGAGUUUACUUGUCAAAGCAAGUAGAGUUGGUGUAUUAGUGGGGUUUGUUGAAUUAUUUGUAACCACUACCCCGGGUAAAAUACCAAUAAAAGCCCAUUUUUUAAAAAUUACUGAAAUGGGCUUGAUAAAAAAUUAAUUACCAGAAUGGCCCAAUUCCCCGAAAGCGCGUCCACGUUAGCCCGAUGUCAGGGGACGUGGCAGGAAAACGCUUCCUCAAGGAAGCGCUUUGCCUACGUGGCAACAAAGAGCGCCCUCAAGGACGCAUUUUCCUGCCACGUAAGCGCUCCCCCGGGGACGCAUUUUGGCCGCUCGUGAACAGUAGCAAUGGCUAAUUUUUUUACCGUUAGUGAACCCUCAACGGUAAAAAAAUACUAUAAAACCCCCCACCCUUUCAUUUUUUUCAUAAAUAAAGCCUUUCUCUAAUUUCCUCUCAAUUUCCUCUCAAAUUUCUCUCAAAUCCCUAUUUAAUCUUAAAUUGCUCUCAAUUUCCUUUCAAAUUUCUCUCAAAUCCCUAUUUAAAAGAGCUUUAAUUUUUUAAUUAUUUCAAAAAAAAUUUAAAUUUUUUUGAUUAUUUUUAAAUCAUAAAAAUUUGUACGAAUUUAGCAAUGGCCGGAGAAUUGAUUCGUCUUGAUGACAAGCACGUAUCCGUCGAACAAAUAAAAAUGGUAAGUGUUAAAUUUAAUUUUCAAAUAUUAUUUAAGAUUUUUUUAUUUAUGCAAUUUCAAAUAAUUAUUAAUUUAUUAUUUGUUAUAAAAGUCUAUAGAUCGGAUAUUGCAAUGCUAUAUCCGUAAUAUGCAUGGUCCUCCAUCACCGUUGGUAGAGAAUUACCUGCGGAAGCGGGUUUUUGGCACGUGGUGACUGUAGGUCGGGGAUGCAAGUUAGACCCGAAACUUAUAAGUGCGUUGAUUGAGAUGUGGAGACCCGAGACGCACACAUUUCAUCUUCCAUGUGGAGAGUGCACUAUCACUUCGGAAGAUGUGAAUCUGUAAUUGGGAUUACCGGUGGACGGGUACCCAGUCACCGGGUCUAUUCAAUUUCACGAUUUGGGAACCGUAUGCUACGAGCUUUUGGGUGCUAUUUCGGAGAAUAUUAACGGAGGUCGGAUCGAGAUGGGUUGGUUACGAGACACAUUCUCAGAUCUGGAUGAUGGUUCAACCUAACUAGAAAGAAUCCGAUAUGCUCGGGCAUACAUUCUUCAGAUAAUUAAAGGUUAUCUCAUGCUGGACUUGUCACGGAACCUCGUACAUCUAAGAUGGCUGCUGAAACUCGUUGAUUUUAAAGCAGUUAGUGAAUUGAGUUGGGGGUCGGCCUUGUUGGCAACACUGUAUUAGGAGAUGUGCAGGGCGACACGACCCAAUAAAGUGAAAAUCGGAGGUUGUCUGUCACUACUGUAGUCAUGGGCACGGUUUCGCUUUCUAUUUUUACGUCCUCGAGUGGACCACCCAUAUACAUUCCCACUCAUAACGAGGUAAAUUUUAUCUACCGAUUUUACAAUUAUUACGUAGAUUUAAAAUAUAAUAGUAUGCUAAAAAUUUAUUUAAUUAGGUGGAACCAUCCGGUAAGUUAUGCUGGAUUACCUAGCUGUCUUGAAGAUAUACGGCUUCUAUUAGACCAAAAGUCGGAAGCACAGGUAAGUAUUAAAUAAAAUUGAUAUUUCAAUCAUGAGCUAGUUGAUUGGUAUUUAGUAUUUAGUAUUAUGUAUUAUGUAUAUAACUAAUAUUUCCAUCAUGUUCAUAUAGUUUGAAUGGACACCAUACGAGGAUCCGACAAUUCGAGCAGUAAUUUCGGAUGAGUACUUGCAAAAUCCAAACGCUUAGCACGUGAAAGUCGCAUUGGUCAACUAUGCGACCGUGGAGAUGCACCAGUCGGACAAAGUAUUACGGCAAUUUGGAUUUCGGAAAUCGAUCCCCGUGGCACCUAAGGUGUUGGAUGAUCAUCACAAAAUCGACCAACGGUAAUUGCAUACGGAUUGGCUGAGAUUCUAGUCAUACUACAUCCAAAUGUGGGAAGAUCGGUAUGAUUAUAUACCUACUCGGGAACCGAUCAUCAUUCCUGAGUUAGCGUGCGUGCCGAAAUACAUGCCAUGAUUUAGGAUCCAAGGCAAGCCAUAUUUACUAUCGGCAGAGAAGAGGCAAUGGUAAUUACGUGUCUAAAGGGAACGACGUUGCCCUUUAAAUCCAAGAUGAAGGGACGACGAUGCAAGCCCAGCAACGAGGCCCAGACAAUCACCCGGCACAUCAUCAACGGCCAUUCAAUCACCAGGCCCAGUGAGAGCACCGAUACAGUCACCCGACCCAGCAGUUCAACCGACGAUACCCACGGUACAACCUUUUUAGAUGAUGCUAGGUGCGUAUCCUAGCCCUUUUAUGUAUCCUAACCCUUAUAUGUUUCCAUUUUCUAGUCCUAUGGUAGGUUAGAGUAAAUGGCCUGGCUCAUCUCCAUUUUUCGUUACGUCGAGUAGACUGCCGAUGUAUAUGCUAGUGUUGCACGAGGGAUCGCAAGAAGAGCCGUUGGAAAGCUCUUCUUUUUACCAAUCGCCAUCACCAUAUGGGUUUCAAACAGCUUCGCCGUUGGUUAUGCAAACACCUACACAGUCAUUAUUCUAUCAAGGUGGCUCAUUGUCCCAACACGGACAACAAGAUACCCUACCGAAGGAACCAGGAUCCUCGCCGGAGCAACCACAACCCCCGCCGGAAGCUGGACAAAGGAGGAAUCCAGCGCGUAACUGUCGACGAUCGCCAUGUGGCACUGAAUCCGACAGACACGAAGAUUGAUUUUUAUUUUAAUAUAUUUGUACAAAAUUUUUGAAUAAUUUGAUAUUAUUUGAUGUAAUAAAAUAGAAAUUCUUCUAUAUUAUUUCAUGCACUAAAAUAGAAAUUUACUUUUACAUUUUUAAUAUAAUGGAAAUUCUUUUAAAUAAGGCAAUAUGUUAAAUAAAGUAAUUGUAAUUUACUUUAAUAUUUUUAAUAUAAUCAAAUUCUUUACAAUAAUGUUCAACUAUUGCGAUUUGGGCAUGAUCGGCUUGUAUGGCUUGGGUUCCUACACCAUCCGCACAACUUAUGUUGACUGACUGUUUCUCGAAUAUCCAUAUUAUUACGUAUUCUAGUCAAGCAAGGUCGACCCUUUGGCUUGUGACGUAAAUCCCUAUCCGGUAACAGCUUAAAGAGAGCAAGCAAUACAGACAGCCACUUACGUUCAUCUGAGAUCGGUGGGAAUACAUGUCUCUAGACGUUGUACAUGUUUUCUAAUUUGUAGACUUCGUCGACAUAGCUCAUCGGAUCCAGACGGAGAUUCUGACGAGCCGUAGUUACAUGAGCGCAUAGAUAACGAAGUGCGUCAAACAUCCCACAGUUGCAAGUCCUAUUUCGCAAGUGUACCCGAUAUUGCUCGCCAAUAACACCUUGGUGCGGUCUAUCAAGCUCUGUCACGCGAAACCAUAAGUUGUCUCGGUCAUGACAGACUAUGUGCAUGGUGUUCGCCCGUGCCUUAGCCUUGUUAAUUUCUUGUACUACCUUACUGCACCACGCAUGGCCUCCCUGCAUCUGGCCUGCAUAACUCACUACUCGCUUUGGAAAUAGCGCCACUAAACGAAAAUAUGUCUCUCGCACAACCGAUGUUAUCGGUAGAUGGCGUGUUCCUUUUAGAACAAAAUUUAUGCAUUCAGCCAGGUUUGAGGUCAUAUGACCAUAUUGUAGGCCGCCGUCGUAUGCUUGUGCCCACUGUUCGAAAGGUAUGUUGUAAAGGUAGUCCGCGCCUUCGCCAUUAAUUGAACACAAAACUACCAACAUCUCAUGAAAAUGAUCUUUAUUUAUUUCAUACCUUGUCAAUAUAAGUUCAUAGCAAUUAUUACAUACCACUCUUUCAAUUAGAAUAAAUUAAAAAUGACAAACGAAAUUAUAUUAAUUGAGACUAAAUACCCAUGUUGGUCACUUGUCGUCGUUCCCUCUUAGAUGGAUAUUGCCUUAGGCAAUGCCGAUGGUGUGUGCGCUGCCAUAAGCUUUCCUGUCGAUCAAUUGUAGCUAGUAUGCCGGUGCCCCAAUCUGAAAUAACACAGAUGUCAGAUUGGGGGCACACAUGCCUCCUUAACCUAGAUAGAAAGAAAUCCCAGUCAUUAGCUGACUCCCCCGGUGUUAUUGCGAACAUAAGUAGAAGAAUUCUCCCACUGCUAUCCUGUGCCACUGCUACCAAUAGCCGAUGAAUAUAUCUACCAAACAUAAAGGUACCGUCAAUUUGUACCAAUGGUUUGCAAUAUCGAAAUGCAUCUCAGUAUUGCUUAAAGGUCCAAAACAGGCGUUUGAACACUUGGCAUCCACAUAGCAAUCGGUCGUUGUAGUGCACAUGUUCGGUUUGAAGGUCCAUUAUGCAACCUGGGACGUAUCUCUCUAGCACUUGACACCACUGCCAUAUUUCAUUAUAUGAACCGUCUCACCCACUAUGUAUCUCCUCCAACGCCUUCUGCUUAGCUAUCCAAGCCUUGUGGUAAGAGGGCGUGUACCCCAUUUGGCUACGAAUAUUGGCAAUUAACACCGGUACUGAAGUCCUGGGAUCUACCUUCAUUGUGGGCAGUAUCAAGCUAGCUAACAUAGCUGAAUCCAUCUUGGGUUGAUCUUGUGAAAUACCUAUAAACGGAGUACAUUAAAUAAUGCAACAUUACAUAAUAAUAGUAUUAUUCAGAAACCCUAAAUACUGUACCUGCAGCAUAUGUAUGUCGACCUUUGUACUUUUUAAUCUCCCACAACCCUGUCUUUUUUCUUAACGAGGAGUAGAUUUUCCAUAAACAUGUACCAUCUUGCACUGCACACUUCGCCUCAAACUUAUCAAUUUUGGACUUAACGAUGUGGUAGUUAACGCCGCUAUUGAUGCUAAGUUGUUUCAAAGCACCAAUAAAACUAUCCUUGUUGGUAAACUGAUUACCAACUUCAAAUUUACCCGAAUCCAGUAUCGAACUUGUACGAUCACGCAACCGAUGUGGUAGGUCUGGAAACUCCAACUCAUCAUCUGCAGACAGAUCGAUAUUAUGCAUGUGGGCUGGAGGUGAGUAUGCCCUGAAACAUGGAUCUUCUUCUUCAUCUGAACUCCCUUCAACAUCUUCAGGUUCGGUUGGAAUAGGCUCCGGUUUAGAAAAUAAUCUAACUUCUACACCAUCGGGCUGGGGCUUUCGAGGUGGACCACAUCAGAGUCAUCUUCUAACCCACCAUCAUCUACAAUGUACGAGGUCCCCUCACUGGUGGACGUCGUAGGGAGUACAUCAUCCCUUCUUCUGGCGUUUCAUAAUGUCCCCAAUUGGAUGUAGAUUGCCAACCAGUAGAAGUUGAUGUCGUUCCCCAGUAAGUAUUUCCAGCAUCAAACAUCGACCCAUCGAGGUGCAUGGCCCAUCCACCGAUAGAGUGUCGUGCAGGGGUUGUGUAUUCCACAUUGCAACCAAACAUGGGCUACUUCGUAUUUUGUAACCCACUAACCGAGUGUCGGGCAGGGGUCGCGUAUACCUCUCGAACACCACUCGCAAGUGCAUCAUUUGGCAAUGUAAAUUUUACAUAUAACUCAAUAUACGGUGCUCCACUAGCGAGAUGAGUCUGCACCAUUGCCUCUAAGCUACGAGCACCUUUUAUGUCGAACGAGUAAUAUGUCACCGGAUCAACAGAAGAACAAAAUCGAUACGUAAUAGACAGAACUUUCAUUGGCGUCGUUCUGAAUAUUUUACGUCUAAUUCUUUUACGAAGUUCUGUCAAAUCUAUGUUCUGGUUAAAAACCGGUCGCAUUAUAUUCUCCGAAAAAAAAUAACACCAUUCUUGGUGUGACAAACCUCACCAUCAUAGUAAAUAAUAGCACUAAUACGUUCACUCAUCUUCAAUUUAUAUCUUUCUUGGCCUCUCUAAAUUUUUUUUUGUUGUAAGUAACUUAUGCAAUCUGAGGGAAAAUUUUGCCUUAUUUAUAGCCUCAGGCCAUGCGCCACUUUAGCAAAAGCGUGUCCACGUGGGAGCUUCUUUCAGCACUUCUACUGACAAAGCAUCCUGCUUAAAGCGUUUUUGAUACUGUUUUCUCAGAAACGUCUACUCAAAAUUAUUUUUUCAGGAGCUACUGUAGCAAAAGCGCGUCCACGUGGAAGCUUUUUUCAAUACUUCUGUUGACAAAGCAUCCUGCUUAAAGCGUUUUCGACACUGUUUGCUCAGAAACAUCUACUUAAAUUUAUUUUCUCAGGAGCCACUGUAGCAAAAGCGCGUCCACGUGGAAGCUUCUUUAAAUUAACAAAUAAUUUAAUUAUGUAACCGUAAACCCCAAAGCCUAAUUUAUUUGAGUUUUUACUUAAAAACUCUAAACACUAAAUCCUAAACUAAUUUAUUAUAAAUUUAUAAUUAAUUUACUCAAGUAACCGAGCAAAACACUAAAAAAAGCCCAAUUUUUUAAAAAUUUACCGAAAUAGACCUGGUAAUAAAAAAAACCCUAAACCCUAAUAUAUUUAAUUUUUCCUUAAAAACCCUUAACUCGAAAUCCUAAUCUAAUUUUUAAAUUUUUUUAAUUAUAUUACUUAAGUAACCCUAAACCCUAAUUUAGUUAAUUUUUUCUUAAAAAAUAAUAAACACGAAAACUAAUCUAAUUUUGAAAAUUUUUUAAUUAAUUUAAUUGGCAGACCCUAAACCCUAAUCUCUUAUUUAUUUAAUUUUUUCUCUAAAACCCUAAACUUAAAAAUGUUAAAACCAUAACCCUAACCCUAAACCAAUAACCCAAAACCCUACCACGAGACACUGGCAAAACGCGUCCUUGAGGAAACAAUUUGCCUACUUGGACAGAAAGCGCGUCCUUGAGGGAGCAAUUUUUGUCCACGUAGGCAAAACGCCUCCUCAGGGACGCGUUUUCCUGCCACGUCCGCUGACAUCGCGCUGACGUGGACGCGCUUUCGGGGAAAUAGGGCAUUCCGGUAAAUAAUUAUUUACUGGGCUCAUUUCGGUAAAUAUUUUAAAAAUUAGGCUUUUAUAUGUAAUUUGCCCCACUACACCUAUAUAUAUUGUAUUUCAUGUGUAAAGAAGAUUACGAGAGAAUUUGAUAGCAGUUCAAAAAUUAUGCUUAGUAUUUUCCUUGUUUUUCUCUAUAUUUGUUCUCUCAACUUCUCAAAUCACCAACAGUAACUCAUGUUUCAGGACAAUCUAACUUUCUUAGUUUGGGACAAUCUUUUCUCGAGUCUGCUCCAUGUCCAUGCCAUACUUUCAUAUUGCCAUUCUGAACCAAAACCAAUUCUUCUAAAUUGGGGAAUGUUUCAUGAGAAAUUAAGGAACGUAUAUAUGUUAAAUAAAAACAAGACUUCUAAAGUGAUUGAUAAAAUAUGCAAAUCUGUUUAGAUUGACCUUUUAUUUAGUUUCUUUUAUGAGAUCUUACUUUACUGACCCAAAAUAGGGGUUGUGGAACAGAGGUAAUGGGUUGGCUCUCUCCUUGUGUUUCUCUAAAGUUGAUAUACUCCUCAGCGAAUGUCUCUACCUUGCUGCAUUCAUGCACCUUCAAUUGUUUUAACAAUGGCCAAUUUGUAGUAUGCUUCUUGGAGUAGAAACCCUUCAAUUGGGGUAGCUUACAAAGUAUCAGCUAUCUUAUUUAAGGAAACACAAACUUGGUGGUUGAUUUGAGCUCAACCGAUUUAUUUGAGUUGAGUGUAUGAUCGUCAGAAAGUCUAAUUACUUAACUCACAUUCCAAUAUUCUUAGAGUUUCUAGUUUUUCAAGUCCUUCCACCUUAUCAAAUGGUAAAACAUUCAAAAUUUUGUCACAAUAUUUCACCUCAAAGUAGGUUAACUCAUUAAAUGAACCCAUAGUGAGUUUAUCGUGGCAUAUCUUUCUACACUUUUCGAUGCCUACAAUCUCCAAAAUGCCAAAGCUAAGAAAUGCAACCUGCAAGAAUUAUUUAAGUUGUUAUGAAAAGUAAUAUUACUACAAAAAAAGAAAAACAAAAAAAGAUUGUUGAAGCAAUGGUCAGCAUGCAGCAACCAAGACUAUCGAGGGCACUACAUGCAGAAGCUGCUAGUUCAUCAAACCAGCAAGCUACUUUUUACUUAUUUUGUAUUUUUAAGUUAAUGUAAUGUAACUUAGUUGUAUUUCAACUAUGUUAGGUUUAUGUUUGAUGUAAAACUGAUGGUGAUUGGGCAUAUUAAUCAGCUUUGUUGAUUUGUACAAGUUAAUUAGCUCAAGUUACUAAGUUUUUUAGUGGUAGUAGGUAGUGUUUAGGUUAACCUACUAUUUUGUCAAGUUGUAAGCUUGUUUAUGUAUUGGCUUUAUGCCAUUUUCAGUUUUUUUGAAUGAAUUCAACAAGUUUUCAUCCAUAUGCUCUCUAUUUUAGCUUUGCUUCAAAAUCUAUUUUAUUUUUCUGCUUUGUUUCUUCUGCAAGUCACAAUUCUUGAUCGACAAGUUUCUUGUUGAACUUGCUGUUUGUUGCUCUCGGCUCCAACAAUUGGUAUCUAGAGCCAUAUUCUUAGAGGACCUGUUGUAGUUUAGUAUCAAAACCAUGGCAUCAUCAGGUUUUUCACCAGCUUCACCACCUGUCUUCAAUGGAGAGGGCUUCAACAUUUGGGCAGUUAAGAUGAGGACUUACCUGCAGGCAUUCGACCUAUGGGAAGUUGUUAACUCAGAUGCUGAGCCAGCACCUCUUCGAGCUAAUCCAACAGUUGCUCAAAUAAGGCAACACACUGAUGAAAGAACAAAAAGGCACAAGGCCAUGUCAUGCAUACAGAAUUGUGUGACAGAUGUGAUCUUCAUGAGGAUCAUGGCCUGUGAAACACCAAAGGAGGCUUGGGACAAGCUGAAAGAAGAAUUUCAGGGGGCUGAGAGAACAAGGCAACAACAUCUGCUCAACUUGAGAAGGGAUUUUGAAAAUCUCAAAAUGAAAGAGGAAGAAACAGUCAAACAAUAUUUAGAUCGAAUUAUGGCUAUUGUAAACAGUAUAAGGCUCUUUGGAGAGCAAUUCAGUGAAGCUAGAAUAGUUGAGAAGGUCAUGUCCACUCUACUAGAGAGGUAUGAAGCUAAAAUUUCAUCCCUUGAAGACUCAAGGGACUUGACAAUUAUCUCCUUAACUAAGCUAAUCAAUGCCUUGUAUGCACAAGAGCAAAGAAGAGCCAGCAGACAAGAGGAGCACCAGGAAGGGGCUUUUCAAGCCAAAGAAGCCUCGAGCAUUAAAAGUCACAAAGGCAAAAAUUUCUGGAAAAACAGGCCUAAGCCUGAUGCUGAUAGGAGCAGUGACCAACUCUGCAGACAUUGUAAAAGAGCUGGUCAUCUAGAAGAUAGAUGCUGGUUUAGACCAGAUGCAGUAUGCCAACACUGCAAGAAAAAUGGCCACAUUGAGAAGGUUUACAAGAACCGAAGCAAACCAAGGCAGAUUCAAUUUCAGCAACAAAGGUAGAAGCUAGAGUGGCUGAAGAGAGUAGUGAUAAAGAAGAACAGGUUUUUGCUGUGUCAUGUGCAGCAAAUCAAAAGAAGGGUUCAAAGGGCUGGCUUCUAGACAGUGGUUGCACAAACCACAUGUCACCAGAUGAAACUAUUUUCAAAACCUUGGACAGAACCUGCAAAACCAAGGUGAAAAUUGGAAAUGGUCAGUUCAUAAAUGUUGAAGGAAGAGGAGAUGUGUUGAUCUAUACUCCAACAGGUGCCAAAAUCAUUUCAAAUGUACUCUUGGUACCUGAAAUCGAUAGAAACCUUCUCAGUAUAACUCAACUACUUGAGAAAGGUUACUCAGUUGUGUUCAAGGAGAAAGAAUGCCAAAUUUUUGAUCCAAGUGGAUAAACCUCAUAACAGUCACCAUGACUGACAAAUUUUUUGAAGUAAACUGGCCAAAUGACUUGCAUUCAGUCUGCAUAGCCUCCACUGAUGACUCUAGACUCUGGCACCAGAGGCUUGGACAUGCAAACUACAAAUCCAUAGCUCGAAUGGCCAAUGAAGGACAUGCUGAAAACUUCAUCGAUUCAGUAAAGAAUGAUGAGCUUUGUGAAAUAUGUCAACAAGGAAAAUUGGCAAGAUUGCCAUUUCUUACAAGCACAACAUGGAGAGCAUCAGAGAAGCUGCAACUUGUGCACACUGAUGUGUGUGGACCAAUGAAGACUGACUCUAUCAAAGAAAAUAGGUACUUUAUUCUCUUUGUUGAUGAUUAUACAAGAUACUGCUGGAUUUAUUUCCUAAAACAGAAAUCAGAAGUUGCAUCUAUGUUUUCAAAGUAUAAAGCUGCUGUAGAAACUGAGUCUGGUUGCAAACUUAGAGCACUGAGGUCAGAUAAUGGAACUGAGUAUACCUCAGCUCAGUUCUAAGCCUACUGUGAAGAAGUAGGCAUCAAACACCAGUUGACUAAUGUGUAUACACCCCAACAGAAUGGGUUCAGUGAAAGGAAAAAUAGAAGCUUGAUGAAUAUGGCAAGAUGCCUUCUAUUUGAGAAGAAUUUACCCAAAACUUUGUGGGCUGAAGUAGUUAAUACAGCAGUUUACCUCCAAAACAGGCUCCCAACCAAGGCUCUAGCUCAGAAGACUCCAUUUGAAGCCUGGUUUGGGUUCAAGCCAUCUCUGGCUCAUCUCAGAACAUUUGGUUGUCUGUGCUACACUCAAGUUCCAGCUGAGAAGAGAAGCAAGCUAGAUAAAAGGGCUUAAGCAGGGAUCUUAAUCGGCUAUAGCAUGGUUAAAAAGGGCUACAGAAUCCUAGAACCUGCUACAAACAAGAUACUAGUAAGCAGAGAUGUUGUGUUCAAUGAAAAAAUAUGCUGGAAUUGGGAGAAGGCUGAACUAGAGGCAGUAACUGAAUACCUGGCAUUGGACCAACCUGAAACUGAUCAAAACACAUCUGAAAUAGAUAUAGAUGAUGUUCCAGUUAGAGGCACUCGAUCAUUGACUGAUGUCUAUGAAAGAGCACAAGUGGCCAUUGCUGAACCAAAUUGUUUUGAAGAGGCAGAAAGCCAGGAGGGCUGGAAACAGGCAAUGAUUGAAGAAAUCAAAAUGAUUGAAAAGAAUCAGACCUGGAGUCUGGUUGAAAGACCAACAAAUAGGAAGACUAUUGGUGUAAAGUGGGUCUAUCGAGUAAAAAACAAUACUGAUGGUAGCCUAAAUAAGUUAAAGGCUAGAUUGGUUGUGAAAGGCUUCAGUCAGAGGUAUGGAUCAGACUAUCUGGAGACCUUUGCACCAGUAGCCAGGUUCGAUACCAUCAGACUGCUAGUUGCCUUAGCAGCACAAAGGCAGUGGAUGAUACAUCAACUUGAUGUAAAAUCAACAUUUCUAAAUAGAUAUCUUGAAGAGGAGAUUUAUGUGGAGCAACCUCAAGGUUUCGAGGUGUCUGGCAAAGAAGAAAUGGUGUACAAGCUCAACAAAGCCUUAUAUGGCUUGAAACAGGCUCCAAGGGCUUGGUAUAGCAGAAUAGAUGGCUAUCUGACAAGUCAAGGAUUUGAAAGAAGUCUCAGCGAGCCAACUUUGUAUGUUAAAUCAACUAGUGUUGAAACUCAGCUCAUUGUCUCAAUAUAUAUCAAUGAUUUACUGGUGACAGGAGGAGAUCGAGAGAUGCUAAGCAACUUUAAAGCCAAAAUGCAACAGCACUUUAAGAUGUCAGACUUGGGAUUGAUGUCUUACUUCUUAGGCAUAGAAGUAACUCAAGCUGAAACUGGAAUUUGGCUAAGUCAAAAGACCUUUGCUAUGAAGAUUCUCAACAAAUUCUCAAUGGAGAAUUGCAAAGCAACCAGCACACCGAUUGCUAUUGGAGAAAAGCUAUCGAGCCUAGGUAAGCAUGAAAAGGUUUGUGAAACAACCUAUCAAAGUCUAGUUGGAUGUUUGUUGUAUUUGACUGCUACUAGACCUGACAUAAUGUAUGCUGUGAUCCUACUCUCGAGGUUUAUGCAUUGUUCAAAUGAAAGUCACUUUAGAGCUGCAAAAAGGGUUCUAAGAUACAUCAAAGGAACCUUGUCCUACGGAAUGCAGUUUAUCAAGGCUGAGAACUUGAGGCUGGUUGGCUACUGUGACAGUGACUGGGCAGGUUCUUUAGAUGAUAUGAAGAGCACUACGGGUUAUGCAUUCAACAUAGGCUCUGCUAUGAUUUGCUGGAGUUCAAAGAAGCAGGGAGUAGUGGCUCAGUCGACUGUAGAGGCAGAAUAUGUGGCUGCUGCUGCAACAGUCAAUCAAGCCAUAUGGCUUAGAAAAAUUUUGAAAGACAUUAGCCAUGAACAAAAUGAAGCAACUGAGAUAAUGUGCUGCAGUUGCUAUUGCAAAGAAUCCUGUUUUUCAUGGAAGGACCAAGCACUUCAAUAUCAAGCUCCAUGUAGUUCGAGAAAUGGAGCAAGCUCAAGUUAUUAAACUGGUUCAUUGCAGUUCUGAAGAGCAAAUUGAUGAUAUCUUGACAAAGGCACUCAGUGUUUCAAAGUUUCAACACUUGAGAGCUAAGAUGGGAGUUUGCAACAUGCUAACCAAGGAGGAGUGUUGAAGCAAUGGUCAGCAUGCAGCAACCAAGACUGUCGAGGGCACUACAUGCAGAAGCUGCUAGUUCAUCAAGCCAGCAAGCUGUUUUUUACUUAUUUUGUAUUUUAAAUGUAAUGUAACUUAGUUGUAUUUCAACUAUGUUAGGUUUAUGUUUGAUGUAAAACUGAUGGUGAUUGAGCUGAUUAAUCAGUUUUGUUGAUUUGUACAAGUUAAUUAGCUCAAGUUACUAAGUUUGUUAGUGGUAGUAGGUAGUGUUUAGGUUAACCUACUGUUUUGUCAAGUUGUAAGCUUGUUUAUGUAUUGGCUUUAUGCCAUUUUCAGUUUUUUGAAUGAAUUCAACAAGUUUUCAUCCAUAUGCUCUCUAUUUUAGCUUUGCUUCAAAAUCUAUUUUUUUUUCUGCUUUGUUUCUUCUGCAAGUCACGAUUCUUACUCGACAAGCUUCUUGUUGAACUUGCUGUUUGUUGCUCUUGGCUCCAACAAAGAUUAAUAUCACCUUUUGGUUGAAGAGAGUAUUGGUCACUGAGUUUUCUUGAUGACAGAAUGUCCUUAGUUUUGGAAGCCUAAUGAGCGCCAGUAAUUGUAGCAUAAUGAGCGAGUAAAUCUGAGGUAUCCCUCCUUCUGCUGCCACUGCUAAUCCAUCUGUAAAUUUUAUUUCUUCCAUGUUCUCACAAUCGAAAAGAAUAAGUUGAUAGAGCCGCUCAAAAUUUUUGACUAAAAAGGAUGGGAAUAGAUAUUCCAAAUUGUGGGAAUAGAUAUUCCAAAUUGUGGCAACCCUUCACAGUUAAGUUACGUAAGUUGAGAACAAUAGAGGAUAUAGCCACAAUUUUUAUGUUAGUUGAUGAUAGCUCCAAGUGCUCCAAGUUGGUACACAAAACCUACAGACACAAUCCUCAUUGCAUGAAUUAUGCAUGCUUGUGAUGAUAAAUACAUACACUCAUUACUUAAUGCAUGCUGAAGCAUUUGUUGUUAACGUGAUUGUUAAAUUUCAAAUUCAACUAAUAGAAACAAAACAAUUUGAAUUAUCAUUAAAAACAAUUAUUCAAUUAAUGGUUAGACUUUUUUUUCUAUUUAUUUUCAAGAUUAAGGAAUUAAUUUUUAAUUAAAAGAAGUUGCAUCCUUCAGAGUUUAAUGAUGACUGAAUAAGUAUUCUAUUUGAUAUCAGGAACCUUCGAGUAGAGUCUGAUUUUUCAUAUUUUUCAUACUCUGGGAAUGUGUUUUCUAGCAUUUGUAGGAAGGAUUGGAGUUAUGAGUGCAAAUUGUUUGCAGUCGUAAAUCAACUAAAAUUUUGAAAAAUGCAAGUGCACUUAUCAAUUAAUAGUAUAGUUACAGUGAGUAAAGACAUAGUUCCCACAAUGGCUAAAAGUACUAGUAAUUACUGUUUUUCUAUUAUUUAACCGACAAAUUGGAGUGAUUAAUUAAAACUAAAAUUAACUAAAUCAAUUAACUAAAGAACACGACAAAGAACAAACCAAGAAAAGAAACGAUUAACAACCAAGAAGCGAGACAAUACUCAGAAAAGAAUUCAUCUAGACUUCAUCUGACACUACCAAUCUAAAAAAUUACACAACUUCUUCACUUAGUAUCUUAAUCAGUAGAAAUCCCUAAAUUAUACUAAUAUCUCUCUUUAAGAUUAAGAGCAACUCUAACUCUAGGUUGAUUAAUUAAUAUCUUUUUCUAAUUAAAACCACUAUUGUUGCAUUAACUCGAUCUAUGGAUCCCCCUAUUAGAUUUGACUCUAAUCCGGUAGAUUUAUGUCGUCCUAUUUCUAGGAAUGCAUGCAACUCCACUCAAUUAUGCUAGAUCUACUCUUAAAUAGGAUUGUCGAAACAUUUUUGAAAUCGACUUUUUAUUUUAAAAAAUGAAAAUGGAGUCACCACCAAUCAUUUUUAUGAGAUGUGAUCGGAUCACCUCGUAACUUUAAUAAAAAGUUUGAUUUAUUAAAGUGACUUUUAGUCUAUAAAAAUCCAAGAAAUGAGUUCGGGAGUCGGUUACGCACGAGGAAGGAUUAACACCCUCAUGACGCUCAAAAUUGGUACCUAAUUGUUACUCGAUUUCUUAGUGUCGAAAAUUAAAAAUUUGAAGAGAAUUUAGAACACGAUCCCAUCUUGCAUAAUGAUAUUUUAACUUAGAAUCACUUAAGUAAAUUAAAACAUAUGUAAGAUGCCUUCUCAUCUCGAGGUAAAUAAAAAGGUCACAUCCCGUAAGUUAGGACACGACAUCUCAAAUCCUCAAACAUAAGUUUGCUCAUUAUUCGAUUAUUAAUUACAUCUCAUGUUUUAAUUUUAAAAGGGAUGUUCAGUUAUCUAGGUUUAAGGAGAAAGUCAGACCCCGUAAGUUAGGGCACGACUUCUCGAAUCUCUAAAUAUGGGACAUUGCCUUAAUUUUAAAAUUUCCUUCAUUAAGUAAUAACGAAUGUAACAUUUAAAACAAUGUGUAUUUAUCUUAUUUGGGUAUAGUAUAAAAACGACCAAUUAUAUUUAAACAUAAUGUAUGGUAUAGUAAUGAUGAAAUAAUAUAAAAUGACUAUAUGGUUAGAAUAUUAUAAUGAUAUAUAAUAAAUAAAUAAAGGAAUACUAUUAUAAUACUAAUUUAAUAAUAAUAAUAAUAAUCAGAUCAUAAUAAUAAAAUAAUUAUGGUAACUUAAAAUAAAAAUAAAAAUAGGAAAUGCAUGAUUAAAAAGAUAAAUAAACAUGACAUGAAAAUAUAAAAAAUAAUAAAAGAAAUAAUAAAAUAACAAGAACAAAAAAAUAAAAAUAAAAUAAUAACAACAAUAAUGAAAAAAUGCACAAAUAAAAGAGUAUAAAUAAUCUAAUUUUUAAGUGUAAGAAAAAAUAAAGAAGUAAUAAAUAAAUAAAUAAAUUGUUUGUAGAAAGGUUGAAAUUAAAUAAACAGAGGAUUUAAUUGAAAUUUAAAUGAAAUUAGGGGGUAUAAAUUGUAAAUAAUAAAAAAUAGGCUAAUAAGGAUUAAAAUGUAACGAGCUAAAAAGGACAGGGACCGAAUAGGAAAAUAUCCCUGUCCUUAUGCGCACCAUUUCUUAGAAGGACCAAACUAAAAGAACUUAAAAUUAAAUGGUAUAAAUUAAAAAAAGGAAAUAGGACUAUGUUGAAAAAUGUUUAAAAAGCAGAAGGGUUGGGGCGGCAAUUAGACCAUUGCCGCGAAAACAUGCGGAUCCUAGGACGGGUCGGGUCGGUCUUCGGGUCGGCUUUAAAAUGAUGUUAUUUUGGGGCGUUUAGGGUGGAUGAAAUGGCACUAUUUCACUAAGCCUAUUUAAGUUGAUUUUUUUUAAAAAAAAAUUCAACCCUCAGUAAAAAGAAAUCCAAAAACCCCAUUUUCUUUGAAGCAGUUUCUGAGUUCACCCACUAGUCCGACAAGCCUCUAUGACGGCCACUGGUUGCCGGCGAUGGGCUCCACUAUUCUUGGUGGCCGAAAAAUGAAAAAAAUCCCUCUUUUAGCCUUUCGGCUCCCAGAAUCCAAAUCUGGGGUCGAUGUCCCUGGAAACUCGUCAAAAGUCGCAAAAAAUAAAGAACCCUUCGAUUUUAGGGUUUUAAAAAAACUUUUCGUCGUAAAAGGGGUCAAAUUUCAUCAGAGGUGACGACCUCGGCCACUUACAGUGGCAGAACACGAUGUGUCAGGUAAGUUUUUCCUUUUUUUAUUUUAUGUUUUUUAUAUAUAAAAAAGAUUCAGAAAAAAAUAAAAAAAUCAACUCUAAAAUUGUAUAUUCUGUUUGCUUUUUUAUUACUUUUUCUGUAUAUUUCUCUCUGUAAAAUAAUACAUGAUUAUCCUGUCUUUUAUAGCCGAAUACAAACUGUUGUUUUUACUGUUCGUCUACUGUUCUUGUGCAUUCAUAUCUGUCCUUUUUCUUUCUCUUUUCUUAGAGGUGGCGGAUUCAACAAGGAUAUGAGGCACACCCUUUGCCAUUUUAGUGAAAUGGCGGUAGAAAGGGCAGACCUUACGACGAGGAUCCUUGAGCGGUGUGCCUGCGAAGGGAGGAGUGACGCAGUGGGCAUUAGGGUUUUUGUUUAGUUUUUAGUGUCGUGAGCUUUAAGUUUCUUCAUUUGGGCCAUAUUUGGCCACAUUUGUUGUAAAUGGACUCUCUAUUUAUUGGACUUUAUUGUUUAUUUUUUUGGUUUUGUUUAUCUAAUUUAUGUUUGGGCCUUUUAUUUGUUUGUAAUUUAGGCCCAAACAAAAUUGGGCUAUCACAACUGCCCCUCUUUGCUCGUUAUUGUGUAACGAGAAUGGAGCAAAGAAUUUAAGAAAGACCAAUUUUGGUCUCGCCGGAUCUCGACUUCUUUGGUGCUUCUCUUCUUCGAGUAGUCUUAUUCUAAUCCACUGCAACUUCAGAGGUAUAGGAUUUGUCGCUUCGAUUUGUUCCGUUGCAACUUUAGGGAGAUGAAAUUCGUAGCUUUAAUCUACUCCACUGCCACUUCAGGGAGAUAAGAUUCGCUAUGGUAGAUUUAAUCAUACCUACUGCAACUUCAGAGGUAUAGGAUUUAGUUUCAAUCUACUCCACUGGAACUUUAGGGAGAUAAGAUUUGUUGUUUCAAUCUAUUCCACUGCAACUUCAGGGAGAUAAUAUUUUUUGUUUCAAUCUGCUCCUCUGCAGCUUUAGGGAGAUAAGAUUUGUUAUUCAACCUACUCCACUGCAACUUCAAGAAGAUAAGAUUUGUAACUUGUAGCUUUAAUCCGUUCCACUGCAACUUCAGGGAAAUAAGAUUCGCUAUCUACAAUCUGCUCCACUACAACUUCAUAGAGAUAAGAUUUGUAACUUGUAGCUUUAAUUUGUUCCACUGCAACUUUAGGGAAAUAAGAUUCGCUAUCUUCAAUCUACUCCACUGCAACUUCAUGAAGAUAAGAUUUGAAGCUUCAAUCUGCUCAAUUGCAACUUCAGGGAGAUAAGAUUUGCUAUCUUCAAUCUGCUCUACUGCAACAUUAGGGAGAUAAGAUUUGUGGUUUCACUAAUCUGUUACACCUUUCUUUAGGGAACAUUACCUGUAGAAUCCAUUUCAUGAGCCUUUAUUUAUGCCAAGCGAUUAGGAUGUUAUGAUCAAAAUGAAUCAAAUGCUCCUAGCUAGAUAUAAAUGAAUGAUAUUUGUGUGCAUGCAGAAUGUCAUUUUUCGGGAAUGAUUCCCUUUUUAGUACUUGGGUUAACACUGCUUGUUGUUCAUCAAGGUUCCAUCACUGAUGUAUUACCAUGCCUUCUUGCUCAGAUCUGGUAUAUUUGACAGGAAAUUCGAAGAAAAAAUCACAAUUCAAACUAUACUUUCCCAAAUAUUUCCAACCCUUAGAUUUGGUUAGUUCUGACUAUUGGUCCUAUUUCAGGUCCUUGUACUAUUUAGAAAACCUUUCAAAGCAAUAUGCAGAAAUCCUUUUACUUGAAUUUUAUUAGUCCAUUAAUCUUUAUUUCAAUGAAAAAUGCUUGAAAAAGAUCGUAACAAAGAACAAGACUGAAAUUUAUAGGGAGCAGAGCUCUAAAUUAAUAGAUUAAUCAAAAUAGAAAACGUUGCUAAAGUACAAAAUGAGUAAGAUAAAAAUAGGUGCCCCAGAUAUCAUAGCAUGAGCUUCUCCGCACAAAUUUCUCGAGGACCAUUUUGAGCUUGAUAUAUGUUUAGGAGAUCUAGAGUACUUUGUUGAUGCCCAAGAUGUAACAUUUCUUCUUCUGAGAGGACACGACUACCGUAUGUUCAAUAUUCGAUCUAAAUCUUAGCUGCCCUUUUCCCGGGUUUUCAACUCAAAACCCCUUUGGUCUCAAGGUGCCCUUUUGCAAUUUUUCACCUUGGCCUCUCUUUUUUUAGGUGAAAUAUUUCUCAAUUGAGCCUUAAUUCACAGGAUUAAGCAGGUUCUUGCCAUCUAUCUCGGUCAAAAUUAGCACUUCCCCAGAAAAGACUUUCUUUACCACAUAAGGUUCUUCCCAAUUUGGCAUCCAUUUCCCUCGAAGUCCUUUUGUAUGGGCAGGAUCUUUUUCAAUACUACGUCUCCUUCAUGGAAUUCUCUAGGGUGAACAUUUUUGUCAUAAACUCACAUCAAUUCGCUUUUGGUACAUCUGACCAUGACGGAUAACUUUCAACCUAUUCUCUUCAAUGAAGUUCAAUUGAUCAUAUCGAGAUUGAAUCCAUUCUACUUUGUCCAACUUCAACUCUGACAAAACUUGGAAAGAAUGAAUCUCAACUUCAAUGGGCAAAAAUGCCUCCAUUCCAUAAACCAAAGAGAAAGGCGUUGCCUCGAUGGAGGUUCUAACAGACGUUUAAUAAGCAUAGAAGGCAAAUGGUAACUUCUCAUGCCAAUCUUUAUAAGUCUCAUUCAUUUUCCCCACAAUCUUCUUAAUAUUCUUAUUGGCUGCCUCCACUGCACCAUUCAUUUUUGGGCAAUAUGGUGACGAGUUGUGGUGUUUGAUCUUGAACUGACUGCAGACUUCUGAUAUCGUGUUGUUGUUUAAAUUUAAUAAAUUUUCAGAUAUGAUCAUUUCUGGAAUUUCAUACCGACAUAUGAUUUCUUUCUUCAAGAAUUUACUAACUGCCGAUUUCAUGAAGUUUGCGUAAGAAGCAGCUUCUACCCACUUGGUGAAGUAGUCGAUGACCGCAAAGAUAAAUCGAUGCCCAUUGAAAUCUUUUGGUAAUAUCUGCCCAAUGACAUCCAUGCCCCACAUAGAGAAAAGCCAUAGAGAAGUCAUAACAUGAAGAUGUGAAUGAGGAACAUGAAUUUUGUCUUCAUAAAUUUGACAGUUAUGACAUCUCUUGGCAUAAUUGAUACAAUCAUUUUCCAUGGUGGACCAAUAAUAUCCAAAUCUCAUUAUUUUCCUGACCAUUGUAAAACCAUUAACAUGUGUUCCGCAGACACUCUCAUGGACUUCUUCCAAGAUUUUCUUAGCCUCAACAGCAUCCACACAUCUUAGUAGCUCAUGAUCCUUUCUAUUUUUGCAUAGGAUAUCCCCAUCUAAGAUAUAGCCAUUGGCCAGUCUUCUAAACGUUCUUUUAUCAUUAUUAGUUGCUUGAUCAAGGUAUUCACGAUUCUUCACAUAUCGCAGUAUAUUGUGGUACCAAUGGUGGUCAUCCUUUUCUUCUUUCUCAAUGUUGAAACAAUGGGUCAGAGCCUCAUAAAUACUCAUCUAGAUAGGUUUUACAUCCUCUUGUUUGUUCACUUUGACCAUGGAAGCUAAGGUACCCAGGGCAUCAGCCAUUUAAUUUUUAUCUCGCAGGAGGUAACAGAAGGUGAUGUCAUUAAACUCUUUAAUUAACUCCCAGACCAGCCUUCUAUACUCAAUCAACUUGGGAUCUUUUGUCUCCCAUUCAACUUUGAGUUUAUAGAUCACUAGUGCGGAAUCCCCAUAUACCUCCAAUACUUUGAUCUUGCAUUUUAUGGCUGCAAGGAUACCCAUGAUGCGUGCUUCAUAUUCCGCCAUAUUUUUCAUGCAAUCAAAAUCCAAUUUACUUUUAAAGAGAUAAUGAUCUCCGUUUGGGGAUACUAGGACUGCCCCGAUUCCAUUACCCAUAGCGUUGGAGGCCUCAUCAAAAUUUAGUUUCCAAGGAUGUUCGUCUUGAGCAUCUUCUUCAAUGGUUGCAAAAUACAUCAGAUCUUUAUUUGGGAAAUCAAAGUUCAAGGGCUCGUAAUAUUCUAGAGCUCUACUGGCUAGAAAAUCUGUUAUUGCACUCCCUUUUACUACCUUCUGGUUCACAUAGAUUAUAUCAAAUUCAGAACGUAGAAUCUUCCAUUGGGUCAUUCUUCCAUUUAAAAUAGUCAAUUCCAUCAUGUCCUUUAGAGGGUCUAUUUUUUAGAUUAGCCAAGUUGUGUAGUACAGCAUGUACUGUCUUAGUCUCUGGGUUGUCCAGAUCAAGGCGCAACACAACUUCUCAAUUGACGAAUAUCUUGUCUCACAUUUAGUGAAUUUCUUACUUAAGUAGUAUGUCGCUAUUUCUUUCCUCCCUGACUCAUCAUGUUGGCCCAUCACGCAUCCCACAGAAUUCCCAAAUACUGCUAAGUACAAUAUCAGUGGCUUAUCUAGACUAAUUAGCAUUAGCACUGAGGCAUUGUACAGGUAAUGUUUGAUCUUAUCAAAAGUCUUUUGGCAUUCCUCAUCCCAUACACCUGGAUUAUGUUUCUUAAGGAGACAGAAUAUGGGGUCGCAUUUCUCAGUUAGUUGUGAAAUGAAUUGGGCGAUGUAAUUUAGUCUUCCUAGGAAACCUUGAACCUCUUUUUGAGUGUGUGACGGAGGCAACUCCUGUAUAGCCUUCACUUUAUCUGGGUCUAUCUCGAUCUCCUUUUCACUAACUACAAAUCCUUGCAAUUUUUGACCUAGCCCUGAAGGUACAUUUUGCUGGAUUGAGUUUUAGCUAAAAUUUUCUCAACCUCAAGAACAAUUUCCUCAGGACUUGUAUAUGCUCUUCUUCUAUUCUGGAUUUUGCUAUCAUACCAUCGACAUAAACUUCAAUUUCCUUGUGCAUCAUAUCAUGAAACAAAGUUACCAUGGCUCUCUGAUACAUCGCUUCCGCAUUUUUUAGUCCGAAUGGCAUCACUCUAUAGUAAAAUAUUCCCCAUAUGGUUAAGAAUGUGGUCUUUUCCAUGUCUUCAGGAUGCAUUUUUAUCUAGUUGUAACCGGAAAAGCCAUCCUUGAAGGAGAACAAUGAAUAACUGGCCAUAUUGUCUACUAAGGUGUCGAGGUGAGGCAAUGAGAAAUUGUCUUUUGGGCGAGCCUUGUUUAAAUCCUUCUAGUCUACACACAUUCGUAUUUUCCCAUCUUUCUUAGGGACUAGGACUAUAUUGGCUACCCACUCCAGUAUUUAACCACUUGUAGAAAACCAACGUCGAAUUGUGUUUUGACCUCUUCUUUUAUUUUUAACAGGAUGUCGAGCCUCAUCUUUCGGUGUUUCUGUUGAGUUAGCUUGCAUUCUUCUGUUAUGGGGAGCCAAUGUACCACGAUAUCAAUACUUAGCCUAGGCAUGUCUUGAUAUUACCCUACAAAGACAUCUUUGAAUUCUUGAAGUAACUCAAUGAGGUCUCGCUUUGUUUCUGCAGUGAUGCAAGAUCCAAUCUUCACUUCUUUCUUUUAUUGUUUGUCUCCCAAACUCAUAAUUUCUACAGACUCUUUGUAAGGUAAGAUUUUUUUUUCAUCUUGUUCUACCAUCCUUAAAAAAUCAGGAGAUAGGCUUCAAUCUCGAUCAUCUUCAAACUCCUGAGGUUCCUCUAGACACAUAUCUUGCUCAAAAGGAGACUCUGAGUCAGUAGCAGCGUCGCUCGUAUCAUUGAUAUCUAGAGACCUAUUGUAGGAAUGAAUGAAGAACCAAAGAACAAAUAAAUCUAAGAAUAAUUAUAUGUGUGGUAUGAGUACGAAUGAAACGGAAAAAAAUAAAAGAAUAUUUGCCAAAGUGAGACACAAAAAUACAUUUUAUUGAAAUAAAGAUUUUAGACAUAUGCCUAUUUCACAAAAGGAUUCUUAUUGCUCCCAGGCUUAAAGUAAUAAGUGUGUUUUGAGCAUUACUCUAAAUUAUUUCUAAAAGUUACAGGGAUCUCUUCUGCAGUCUAAUUGUUCAGAACACUUCCAGGGAUAUAAGGACGAAUGCCUGAUAGGUUUUCCCUAAUUCCUUCUUCGAAUAUAGCAUUGAUGCUCAAAUUUCAUAAUAUUUCUUCCACAAUUUCUUUUCUUGACAUCUUUCGUUCAGGAUAAAUGGUUUUUCCUGACACGAACGUUUUAGAUAUAUGGGAAAUGGUCAUCGGCUCCCACUUGACCUCUCCUACAUUCAGUCGCGCUCUUUUCCUAUCUUGUUUCUUCUCUAACUUUCUCUUCUUUUGCCUCACAUCUGGCUUGUAUCCUAAGCAAAAGCGGUCUUGUUUGUCCAUCAGUAUUGGUGCCUCGACUCUUUCUUGUAGGUAUUUUUUGAGUCAUCUUCCAAGAAAGACUCCUUUCCCAACCGUCAAUUGCAGGCCUAUCCUUCGACAAUAAAAGUUGCAUUAACUAAUUCCAAUGACGAAAAGGAACAUUUUAUUAUCUCUUCAUCCGCUCCUAUGUAUGGUGCGUCACUAGUUACAGAUGCAAUGAUAUCUUCCUUAGUGUUUAUUGUCACCAGUAGACCUUUCGUUACCAACUUCAAUUUUUGGUGUAUUGACAAUUGCACUGCCUCAGCAGAGUGGAUCCAAGGUCUACCCAACAAGUAAUUAUAAGAAGGCUUGAUAUACAUCACCAAAAAGCCUACCUCAUUUGUGUUCGGACCAAUUAGGAGAGGUAUUUCAGUCCUUCCUAUCACCCUCCUUUCUGUACCAUCGAGUUCUCUCACUAUAAAUUGUCACGUCUUCAUGUGAGAGCUAUCUACUGGCAAUCUAUUUAGUGUGGAUAGAGGCAAGACGUUCAAUGUAGAUUCAUUGUCGAUUAACACCCCUGGCAAUGUAUAUCAUUUGAAGUGGGUAGUGAUAUGUAGGGCCUUUGUGAAUCCUAUGCCCCCUGAAGGUAUUUCAUCGUCAUUAAAAAAGAUGAAAUUGUCGGCACUAAGAUUGUUAACCAGACGGUCUAGCUUGUUUACAGAUAUAUCAUUAGCGACAUAAGUUUCAUUUAACACAUUCAUCAAUGCGCUACAAUGUGUCUCUAAGCUCAAGAGCAAAGCUAGUACUGAUAUGCAAGCUGGUUGUUUGUGUAGCUGUUCUACAACACUGUACUCGCUAUGCUUUAAGAAUUUCAAGAAUUCCUUAGCUUCGUUCUUAGUUUUUGGCUCAUUAACAAGUGAUUCAAGCCUAGCCGACUUUUCUUUCUUAUGCUCAACUGCCAGGGUUUUUCCUUUAACGAGCUCAGUUCUUGUACUUGUAGGGUCAUAACGCCUCCCACUGCGCGUGAAGAAACUAAUAUUCUGACCCUCCUCUAAUGUGCUAACAGAGUUCUCCUCUCUCGGGAUCAUCACGUUGCAGUCAUAAUUCCAUAGAACCCUUUCACUGUCUUUGUAGGGAAAAGCCACGGGUUUUUGAAUUAUGACUCUUGGCACAGCUUGUGUUCCUGCUUCAUUAUUUCUCAGCCAUGAAAUAAUCACCACCAGGUGGUUGACCUUGUAGACCUUCUCUGUUGAUCCUUCCUCUGAGGCACAGAUGUCUCCUCAUUGUUAUCCAUCAGACUUUGGACCAAAGCUCUGAAUUCAGUGCACUCUUGGAUCUUAUGACCUUCUUCAGCGUGGAACUCACAAUUGCUCCUCAUCCCUUUAGGUACCUUCUCCGAAUCUUGAACGAUUAAUCCUACAUCUAUCAUCUUUUGCCAAACCUAUUUGAGUGGGGUUUUUACUUUCGCCACAUCAGUUUUGGUCCUCUUUCCUCCAGUCUCAAUUAUCACGUUUACCCCUUGAUCUAAAUGACUUGGUAAUAGAUUUCCUGUCAUAUUAGGUCCCGAUAGAUCAUAAAACCUUACAAUCCCUAUUUUGAUGAACCUUUCAAUCAACUUUUUAAAUGCAGUGCAGUUCUCAAUUGAGUGUCUCGUUAUUCCUGCAUGGUACUCGCAUUGAGCAUUCGUAUCAUACAAUUUUGGGAAUAGAGGUUGAUGGGUUUUAAGUAAAAUGGGGAAACCAUAUGCGCAUCAAACAAAUUCUGAUAUAACUCCCUAUAUGUCAUAGGGAUGGAUGUGAACUGGAGUUUUCUUGUGUUUGGUUUUGAGUUAGAUUCUUACCUCGAAAGGCCUUGAUGGGUUGUUGUUAUUGCUCUUGGUUAGCCUAUAGUGAUUGGUUUUGAAUAACCUUUAUUAUACAUACUUGCGGAGUUUACUUCAUUUUCUUUCUUUCUCGGGGUUGACCUUUUAGUGCUUUUCCCUGCGUCUAUUUUCCCACUCCUUACUGUAUUUUCAAUCAUCUCUUCGGACAUUACUAUAUCUGAGAAGCUCUUGCUAGCACUUCCCAACAUAUGGUUAAUGAACAGAGGUUUUAGAGUGUUUAUGAAAAGUAUUGUCGUCUCUUUCUCCAGAAGAGGUGGUUGGACUUACGUUGCCACCUCUCUCCAUCUCUGAGCAUAUUGUCUAAAGCUUUCACUUUGCUACUUCUCCAUAUUUUACAACGUAAUUCUAUCGGGUGUCAUGUUGGUCACAUGGCUGUAUUGUUUUAUGAAAGCCAGUGUCAGGUCUUUCUAUGAGUUGAUUUUGGCACGGCUUAGCUGGUUGUACCACUUGGCUGCUGACUUGAUCAAAUUAUCCUAGAAACAGUGAAUUAACAAUUGAUCAUUAUUGAGGUAUCCCGUCAUUCUUCGGCAGAACAUUGUGAUAUGGGCUUUAGGACAACUAGUCUCAUUGUAUUUUUUGAAUUCUGGAGUUUUAAAUUUUGGUGGGAGCACUAGAUCUGGGACUAAGCUCAACUCCUUAGCAUCAACCCCGCAAAGGUAAUCAACAUUCUCCAUAGCUCUAAAUUUCUCUUCCAACCACUUGUACUGAUCUUCUAGUUGUUUAGACAGUUCUACCCUUGCUCUAUCCAUUUCCUCCAUGUCAUCUAAAUCUAAAACAACUUGGUUAGUCGGGUUAUCCCAAGGAUUGGAACUUGAACCUAUUGGGUAGUUCACCGGUGCUGAGGUGCCGGCUUGAUAUUGUUGAGGUUUAUGGUAACGGGUACCCUUCGUGGAUAUGUAUCUGGUUGUACUUGGACAUUCACCAGGGUAAAGCUUAAGGGAUAUGUAGGGUCUUCAUUAUCAUCCCCAAAGUUAACUACAGUAUUUUUCCCUUUUUCAAUCCCUCCUGCCAACAACUAAGUCAACUACCUUAUCAUGCUCCGUUGGGACUCUUGUAUUUGAUCCCUCAUAUCUUUCUGUACUUUAGCUAAUUGUUCAUGUAGCUACCCUUGCAACUGAUUUUGCAUAUCUUUCUAAAUUUGUUCCAAUCUCUCUAAUCUUUUAUCCAUGACUUUGGUUUUUCCGCGGGUACUGUAACAAUAUUCAGUUGGUAGAUUCUUGUUGGUUUCCAGGGUAACUAUCAUAAUUUCGAUUAAUUAGGGUCUUUUAUGGAAUUUAAUGCAUAUGAUGAAAUGUAAUGUUGAUGAAUGAAGUGAAUGCAAAAAGAGGCAUUGAUUCUGAUUCAAUUCUAUUAGAACAACUUUAUUAGAAAACAAAUUUCUUUAUAUAAAACGAAUAUAUUUUACAUAUACGGUCUUGCCCUGAUACUCAAAGCCUUGACUUUUCUAAGAAGCCAAGCUAAUUCUCAGCCCCGAUCUGAUUCAGAUUCAUACUUUAAGCUUAGCAUGUCGGUUAGAACUGCUAGGGUUUGCAAAUGGUCGGCUACUUCCUGUACUUGAGUCACAACUUUACCCUUGAUGUGAUCUCCAUCCCUAAUCUGACCUUGAAAGUGUUGGAGUUACUCUUUCCAAUGUUCAUUGUUCAUUUCAAGAAGCUCAACUCGAAGUUCAUAAUUUUACAAUACGGUCUCGAGCUCUUCUAUCUUUCCCUUUAACUCUUCAAUCUUAUUUAGGCUUGCUUUCUAUUCAAUUGUGGAGUUGCGACUAUGAUAUUGAUGUAGUGACCUUUCUAAUCCUGCUACCCAGGUUCUUAAUCCAACAUUUUCAUUUUGGCUUUCUAACAAAUCCAUUUCUAGGGCAUCUUCUGGAACUCAAGCAUCUUGGAAUUUCAUUUCCCACUAAUCGGCUCUAAUAUUUUCUUCUUUGAUUUCUUGCCGCCAUUGUUCUGAUGUUUUACCCAACUCGGCAGUCAUUAUCGAUAAACGCAGUUUCUUAUAAUCUAUUUUUAGACUGUCCAAGUCUUCCUCAUCCUUGUUCUUUCCUCCACUGUUCUAUCUUUUUCCCCAACUUCGAACUCUUUUUUUCAAAGUCUUGCUUUAUGAUUUCCAUCUCAGAUGGGAUAACUUGUAAGUGCUCUUCUAUCGGCCGAGUGUUUUCUUGACUUGACUCAGGGACAUUGUCAUUAAAUCUUUUACCUCGCCACCAAUCAUAUUGGGGGGUUGUCAUGGGAUUUGCAGCAAAUCUUUUCAUUCUGUGAGUUUGGUUACAAGCGUUCGAUAUUUCACGAACCUUCUUCUUGUGAUUAUCACCCUUGUACGCAAACUCACACUGAGCCAACCCUUGCGUUUCCGGUAUAAACUGUCUCGACCUAAACUGCCUUAAUACAAGUAGAGGGGCAUAUCCAAUAGCUCCCCAUAUCCCAAGUAGAGGAACAUAGUCGAAGUCUUCACAUCGAUAUAAAAUCUCAUCAGGGAUUAUCCAAGGGGCUCUCCAUUCGGCGUCUUCGUCUUGGAGACUGGAGAAUCGCCAUCCACUUUUCCCUAGAAAUGUUGUCUCGCCUUGGCGCAGCUAUGAAUUCUUUUAACAGAGAGUAGUUCUCAGAGAAUACUCGAUAAAAUAUUCUUUUUACCUUUCAAAAGUGGCUGUGAAACUAGGCUAGCAACAAUUGUGCACACCUGAUAAAUCUUCCUUCACCCGCUCUUUGGCAUGCACUGAAAGAUCUAAAAGUUUCGACCGGUCAAAUAGAUCUGAAACUGCCUCAUUUAUGUGCCCUAGUGCUGUGGGGAAGAUGACCAACCCAUAAAAACUCAAGGAAAAGAGGUCGACUCUUUUCUUCAUAUCUGGAUGUGCUAAGAUCAAAUCCCGUAACUUUUCCAAGGGAUGUAUUUGCUAUCGCCCUUUUGUUUAAUCCGGGAUAUGACCCUUUGCUCGCUCAUUCCAGUUAUAUUCAUUAGCUUUUUUAAGAAAGUCGGGAUGCUGGCAGCUCUAGAAUAAGCUUUUUCGGCUUAGAUCCUCGGGAAAUGGAGUAGAGUUGUAUACUCUUCCAUGGUGGGCACCAAAUCUACCUUCCCAAAAGUAAAGCAGUUAUAGGCGGGAUUCCAAUAUUGGGCUAAAGCUCGGAACAAGUGCUUAUCCACUUUGACAUCGAGUAAAUAAGGUAAAUCAUCAUACUUACAGUAGAAUAACUGCUUGGUUUCAUCAUCCCAUUGGUCCCAUACCUCUUUCAACUCUUGCAGAUCAUUCUGAGCCACACUGAUGCGAGUGAAAUCCUAUAAUUCUAACAUAUAUCCCUCCAUCUGGCUGUUUUCCUUCUCUUGUUGUGUAUUGUCAGACCAUAUCCGGACAGUCGCAUUGUCUUCUAUUUUAUCAAUAAAUCUAUUUUUCAUGACAAGCUCUCUAUUUAGCAACUGAACGUGAAUCAACACCCUUUCUAUGAUGAAAAUGCAAUGCAGUCAUAGCCAAAACAAAACGAAACAAGUCAGUACAUUUCAUACAAAGCUAGAAUUCAAAGUAAGAAAUAAUAAGUAGAACACCUAUUCGGGUGACCACUAGAGGUUCGGUAUGGUUCUACCUAGGGUAGGUUCUUAGGGCUCAUUAUAUGCGAUUCAGUUCUAAAGUAAGGGUACUUAAACCAACAGAUUCCUCGAUCCUCACCCAUCAUAGGCUUAUACGAACCGAGUUUGGUUCAGAGGAAUACAUUUCCCUAUGGCUAUACAGAGAUAAAGAUCUAACGAAGACAUAGGUACAGAUGUAUCCCGAAAGCGAUCCACUAUCCUAUACGGAGGUGAAGACCUCACGAAGGAAUAACUUCUCACUCUAACUUAAGAAGGGAGAAAUCGAACAAUUAUGCAAUGCAACAUGCGAAAAUAUACCAAGAGACUUGAACCAAUAAAACAAACAUAUCAUUAUGUAACAAAAAGAUGAAUACCAACAAAAAGAAUGAUGAAAUGCAAUGAAGGGACCGUAAAUUUAAACAAAAUUAUCAAUUUUUGACAAAAAAAACCAAACGUAAUCAACUUGCGGCUUGACACUCUUAUUUUAUCCCUAGUGGAGUCGCCAAGCUGUCGAAACCUUUUUGAAAUCAACUUUUUAUUUUAAAAAAUGAAAAUGGAGUCGCCGCCAAUCAUUUUUAUGAGGUGUGAUUGGAUCACCUCGUAAUUUUAAUAAAAGGUUUGAUUUAUUAAAACGACUUUCAGUCUACAAAAAUCCAAGAAAUGAGUUCGUGAGUCGGUUACGCACGAGGAAGGAUUAACACCCUCAUGAUGCCUAAAAUUGGUGCCUAAUUGAUUACUCGAUGUCCUAUCGUCGAAAUUUGAAAAUGUGAAGAGAAUUUAAAACACGAUCCCAUCUUGCAUAAUGAUAUUUUAACUUAAAAUCGCUUAAGUAAAUUAAAACAUAUGUAAAAGGCCUUCUUAUCUCGAGGUAAACAAAAAGGUCAUGUCCCGUAAGAUAGGACACGACAUCUCGAAUCUUCAAAAAUAAGUUUGCUCAUUAUUAGAUUAUUAAUUACAUCUCAUGUGUUUUAAUUUUAAAAGGGAUGUUCGGUUAUCUAGGUUCAAGGAGAAAAUCGAACCCCGUAAGUUAGGGCACGACUUCUUGAAUCUCCAAAUACGGGACAUUGCCUUAAUUUUAAAAUUUCCUUCAUUAAGUAAUAAAAAAAUGUAACAUUUAAAACAAUGUGUAUUUAUCUUAUUUGGGUAUAGUAUAAAAACGGCCAAUUAUGUUUAAACAUAAUGUAUGAUAUUGUAAUGGUGAAAUAAUAUAAAAUGGCUAUAUGGUUAGAAUAUUAUAAUGAUAUAUAAUAAAUAAAUAAAGGAAUACUAUAAUAAUACUAAUGCAAUUAUAAUAAUAAUAUUAAUAAUCAGAUCAUAAUAAUAAAAUAAAUAAGGUAACUUAAAAUAAAAAUAGAAAAUGCAUGAUUAAAAAGAUAAAUAAAAAUGAUAUGAAAAUAUCAAAAAUAAUAAAAGAAAUAAAAUAACGAGAACAAAAAAAUAAAAAUAAAAUAAUAAUGACAAUAAUGAAAAAAAUGCACAAAUAAAAGAGUAUAAAUAAUUUAAUUUUUAAGUGUAAUAAAAAGUAAAGAAGUAAUAAAUAAAUAAAUAAACAAACAGUUUGUAGAAAGGUUGAAAUUAAAUAAAUAGAGGAUUUAAUUGAAAUUUAAAUGAAAUUAGGGGAUAUAAAUUGUAAAUAAUAAAAAAUAGACUAAUAAGGAUUAAAAUGUAACGCGCUAAAAAGGACAGGGACCGAACAGGAAAAUAUCCCCUGUCCUUAUGCGCACCGUUUCUCAGAAGGACCAAAAUAAAAGAACUUAAAAUUAAACGGUAUAAAUUAAAAAAAGGAAAUAGGACUACAUUGAAAAAUAUUUAAAGAGCGAAAGGGCUAAGGUGACAAUUAGACCAUUUCCACGAAAACACGCGGAUUCUAGGAUGGGUCGGGUCAGUCUUCGGGUCGGCUUUAAAACGACGUCGUUUUGGGGCAUUUAGGGUUUGGAUGAAACGACACCAUUUUACUAAGCCUAUUUAAGUUAAAAAAAUUUCAACCCUCAGUAAAAAAAAUAGUGAAACCCCUUUUUCCUCUGAAGUCGUUUCUAAGUCCGGCCACUAGUUCGGCGAGCCUCCACGACGGCCACCGGUCACCGGCGACGAGCUCUGCCAUUCCCAGUUGCCAAAAAUUGCAAAACAAAAAACUCUCUUUUGGCCUGUCGGUUCCCUGAACCGAAAUCUAGGGUUGAUUUCCCCAGAAACUCAACAAAAGUCACAAAAAAGAACCCUUCGAUUUUAAGGUUUUAAAAGAACUUCUCGUCAUAAAAGGGGUCACCUUUCAUCGAAGGUGACCACCUCGGCCACUCAUGGUGGUAGAACACAAAGUGCAGGUAAGUUUUUUCUUUUUUUUUUCUUUUAUGUUUUUUAUAUAAAAAAAGAUUCAAAAAAAUAAAUAAUAAAAAAAUCACCUUCGAAAUUUUAUAUUCUGUUUGUUUUUUUUAUCUCGACGUUUAUAGCCGAAUACAAACUGUUGUUUUUACUAUUCGCCACUGUUCUUGUGCGUUCGUAUAUGUCCUUUUUCUUUCUCUUUUCUUGUAGGUGGCAAAGUCAACAGAGAGGAGAGGCAGACCCUUUUCCAUUUUGGUAAAUGGCAGCAGAAAGGGGAGAUCUUGGGACGAGGAUCCUCCGGCGGCAUGCCUGUGAAGGGAGGAGUGAUGUAGAGGGCAUUAGGGUUUCUGUUUAGUUUUUAGUGUCGUGGGCUUUAAGGUUUCUUCAUUUGGGCCAUAUUGGGCACAUUUGUUGUAAAUGGACUAUCCUUUAUUGGGCUUUGUUAUUUAUUUUUUUGGUUUUGUUUAUUUGAUUUUUGUUUAGGCCUUUUAUUUGUUUGUAAUUCGGGCCCGUACAAAAUUCGGCUAUCACAAGGGUCUAUUCCUCCUCUAAUUCAAGCACAUCAAACAUGGAAUAAUAGUUUAGAAAUAUCAAACCAAGAAUUAAGGACACAUAAUUGAUAACAAGAUCUAAGUAUUUAUUACUUAAAAAUAGAAAUCAAAUAACAAAAUCCAUCCUAGGGUUAAUCUCCCUAGGUAUUUAGAAAAUUAGUUCAUAAUAGUAAUUGAAAACAUCUUGAUGGAAAUAUGCUUCAGAGUCGGCUCCAAUGGUAUUUUUUCGAGUUGUUUUCUUGAAUAUUCUUUGACGACCCUCUUCUAUCUUUUUUAUUUCUAUCAUAUAUAUGUCCUAGAAUGCCUAAAAAAACCUAAAAACACGCUUUUCCACAUAUUUGGAGUGUAAUUUGUGAAAUUAACAUGGUCUGGCACAUGCCCGUGUGGCAGCCCAUAUGGUUCACCCGGCCGUGUGUUUAGGCCAUGUGGCUUUUGAAACUUACUCCGAUUUUUUAAUUUUCGAUCAUUUUGCUCCCAAAUGCUCUCUUAAAUAUAUAAAUAUGAAUUUAAAGGAUUAGGAGCAUAAAAUUCACUGUUGUACAUCAAAUAAUUAUCCAAAACGCAUUAAGUAAUGGAUUAAAAUAUGUUACUUUUAUCACUUAUCAAAUAUCCCCACAUUUAAGCGUUUACUUGUCCUCAAGCAAAAUCCUCAGCCCACAUUCAACUAAUUUUUCUCAAUUUGUCAUUUUCAUCAAUAAUGUUUCAAGAUAAUUGGCAAACAAUCAAGCAUUGGAAAUUCAACCAAAAGGACACUAAAGAUUCAAGUAGUCCAAGUCGAAAUUUUUAAAGCACAAAAAACAUAGGUGUCUCCUCUUAUCUAAAUAAUUACCUUAAAUUCAAAAUCAACAAGAAUUGACAUCCUCACUCAAGAUCACUCAAAGUGUUUAAGGUUCAAAUAUAAUGCACUCAACAGUCAAACGAGAAAUAUUAUUACCAUAGGCUUGCUUGAAAAUCAAAUCUCCACCACUAUACAAAAUGAGAUGACACACCAAUCAAAAGGUAUCUCCAAGGUUGUAGUGGGACUUAGGUUAAGGGUAUGGAAAAGGUCAGAAAAGUUGGUUAUAAUUGAGAAUCGAGUUGAUAAGUUACCAAACUAGAAAAAAUCAAAUGCUGAAUUAAAAGAAACUACAUCAACAAGAAUAUUCACAAAUGGAAACGAGCUUUUCAGUAGAAUAUGACGCUAAUUAUUCAAGCACAAUCAUAAAUUUUUUUUGUUUUUUUUGUUUUGUUUUUUUUCGAUUAUUUUCCUUUUUAUUUUUUUAGAAAAAAACAAAACAAAAUAAAAUUCAACAAUUCCAAAAAAAGAAACAUAGUUAGGCAACUAAUCAAAUCAAAUCUCGACAAAAACGUAGUCAAUAAAAAGGAUACAUUUACAACAUAGAUUUGGGUUGAGGGUUAACAUAAAUGGGUUAAUAAAAAAAAUGUUAGGAUCCAUGGGGUUUACUAGGGGUUAACACAACAAUUAAUGUGGUUAAAGUUUAAAUGGGUUAAAUCAUAAAUGCCUCUAUCAUCUUAGUAUAUCAAAUUAAUAAUAUGGUCUCGACAUGUAUAAUCAAAGCAAGUUCUAGAGUAACAAAUUAAGUCGACAUACUCACAACCAAAAAUAAAAUGAGCAUGAAAUAAAAUAUAUGCUCUAUAGGCUCAAAAGCUCACAAAAAAUAAUUGUUUUGAUGUCAAACUUGCAAUUUUAAAAUUUCAAGAUAAUUCAUUAGUUUAGGGAGACAACUUAAAAUAAUAAUUUUUGAAAACAACUUAUCAUACGUGACUCUCUCGUGGCUUAAAGUAUAAAUUAACAAAUACAUAAAAAUCCACAAAUUAAUCCCAAACAACAUCAAUAAAAAUGCCAAAUGGAAAAAAUUCUCUCUAAUGGAGGGUAUGAGAAAUUUACUUACACACAAUUAAUAAUUUAGGGAUUUUAUCACAAAAAUAUAAACAACCUCCCCACACUUAAGAUGUACAUUGUCCUCAAUGUACAAACAUAUAUAAACACAGAAUAAGCACAAUAUCAAAAGAGAUGGAGAGAACUGAAACUGCUCUGAAUUUGGAUGAAAUUGUCAGAAUAGUGAAAAUCAAAAUCGUGGGUAAAUCUAAAUGAAGUACAUGUUUCUGAGCAAACUAAUAAGAAAACAGAUAAAAAUAAAUAAGAUAAAGAGAUAACAAACUAGAAAAAACAACCAACAAAAUAAUAAAAAUAAUAGUGCAUAAUAAAUGAAAAACAAAACAUAAAAGUCUCAAAUAUAAAAUAAAACAACUAACAAAACAAAAAUAAAAAAAUAAAAAAGAAAUAAAAGUACAACUAGAAAUAAAAUAAAUAAAGUAGAGAAUUAAAUUAGGUCAUGGAUACGCAUCGUGUGAGAUGUUGAUAUCGUGAGGCGCAUGACCGAGUGGAGAGAUAUGGAAAUGCUGGCAGAUCUGCUGCAAAUAUGCCUCAAUGGUAUCGAGUUGUACUAAAUGUUACUGCUAAGUAUGAUAAAUAUCGUCGAGUAUGAUAGAAAGCGUGGAUGCAGCGGUUAAUUGGACACAGCUGCAAAUACGCCUCUCUGUAAUCGCUCACUCUGACUAUGAAAACACUGGGUUACAAAAUGGGCUAGAUUAAUUGGAUGUUGUCCAUGCGUGCUCUAUUAGAAAAAUGCAUCUAAAGUGCCCAUGAAGCUUGUACUUUCUUUUUAGCCAGUCAAAGUAUGAGCUAGGAUAGCGUGAAUGUAUCGCAAGGCUGAAAGAAAGCAGCGAGCCAUAAACUGGCUCGGGUUAUAUGGAACGGUAACCUCAGAAAUCUUUGACCAGCAGAGAGAGGCCCGCAUAAUGGAUGCGUCGUAAGAGGGAGAAAAGUUCGGUCAUUGCUAAGAAGUCAUCAAAGUAUAGGUCGAUAGCGACACCAAAACCUGUAAUACUAAAGUGCCAAGUGAUACCCCCAAGAUGGAAUGAUAUAACUCGUGGAUCAUCCCCCAACGGUAGCACUAUUUGUAGAAAAAAAGGUAGAGCAAAACUCCAAAGUGAGCUGAAUAUAGGUCGGCUCUGCAAUCGCGAAAAAUUGUUCCCAUGGAGUCGCAACCAAGAGUGAAUAAAUCAGUGCGAAUAAACCCAUAGUCUAAACGACUUCCCAAUCGAUGCACUGAUCCACACCCAAUUCUCUGUCCUUCAAAUAUUGAUACCUCUCCUUAUGGGGUGGGUGGUCGAAGGUGAGGUAUCGGUGGUGAAUGGUCGCAAUUGGAGAGGAUGAAAAGGAGGUCCUAGUGGCUUUUCUUUUCUUGGAAUGAAUGAUGACCUUGCUCUUUCCUCGUGUGUUCUGCAUCAUGUACCUAAAAAACAAAAAAUGAAAAAAUCAUCAGAGGCUUAGAAAAAUUAGCACCACACAAUAACGAGUCUAGCAAAUAAAGUCAACAUAUGAAUUGAAACACAUCGACAAACGAACAAUCUCAUGCGAACAAAAUUUACUCCUAAUAUGAAACUAUAGCCAAUACAAAUACUAAUGAGUCAGAAAUACAUCAACUAAGCUGACCAACUAAUACUAAAUAUAUAUAUAUAUAUACUAAUAAUGAAGAGAAAAAUAAAACUAAUAUUAAAACUAAACCACAAAACCAAUACUACUAACACUAAUAAGAAUAAUAAUAAUAACUAAAGUAAAAUUAUCUAAAGAAAAAAAAACUAAACUAAUCACAUGCACAAAUGAGUAACAGUACUACCAAACAAAAUUAUAAUAACAAUAAAAGUAAUAAUAAUAACUACUAAAAAUAAUAAAAAUAAAAAAAUAAAAAAUGAGGGGCCAAACAGUGGUAGGGUACUGCAGCGACGGUUAACGGAAGCAUGAUGUAAGCGAUAGGAAUGAACAACGAUGUGGGAAGGGCUAUGGCGAGAAUGGUUGUUUGAUGGGAAAAGUGGACAAAAGAGGAGUACAAAAUGGGGAAACGGGGAAAGGGGACUACUCGUUCACAGGUGAUAUGAGGACGAGAUCGAGGUAGGCGCGAAAGGCUCUGAUGGUGACUCGGGAAGGAAAGGGAUUGUUGGGACGAUUAUGGCUUCGGCAAAGUAAAGGGGAAUGUGAGGGACGACACGACUAGGGGUAGAGGUGCAUGGUGGCGAUGACAGGAGAUAGAAAGGUGGUCGACGACGAAGAUGGACGAACGAGGAAAGGGUUAAUUUGCGACGAAGGGUUGGAGUAAAAAAGGGAUAAACAACAUCCAAGGGAAAGGUAAUAUGGAAAAAAUUUAAGGUUUGUGUUUAAACAAGACACGAUCGUGUAAAUGGUCUGUGUUAGACCACACGACCGUGUCUAUGGACCGUGUAAGAGAUGUUAGCCCGUGUCCAUUCAAAAUUUGAAAAAAAAAUUCUACCCAGUAACCAUAUGUGUCAAGGCCGAGUGUCACACGACCUUGUGUUAGUCCAUGUGCGAUCAUCCUUCACUUCUCCCACGUCUGUGUGCGAGACCGUGUGAAUCACAUGGUCACACACAUGCUCAUGUGACAGGCUGUGUGUCUCACACUACUGUGUCUCGAGUCCAUGUAACUCACUGUGUUAAAAUAAAAUUGAAAAAAACUAACUCUAAUAUGCACAUGUCUCCAGUCCAGGUCAUGUGGCCCUCACGACUAUGUCUCCAGGCCGUGUGACCCUUUUUUUUUUUCAAUUUGUUUUAGUAAUAAAUAUAAAAAUGAAUGUCCUUUUUUGAAGUUUUUUUAGAAAAUAAAAUAAAUAAAUAACACAAAAACACUCGGGUUGCCUCCCGAGAAGCGCUUAUUUAGAGUAUAAGUUUGAUUUCCCUUUUUAAGCUCACGAUUAAAGCAGAUCUUGGAGUCGAAGCUCCUAUAACAUCCCAAAAAUCGAGCUAGAAAAAAUUGAGUUUGAGACCAAUAGUGGAAAUCUCUCGAUUUUGAGUUUAGAUUUUGGAAAAUUUUGAUAAGUAAAUUGUUUUGGUUUAGUUGUUAAAUGUUCUAGUUAUGUAUGUGAGGAACUAGUUUUGAAUCCUCUCUCUUGAAAUUUUGCUACUUUUGACUAAAUCCCUAUCUUUGGACAUGUGGGUUAUAAGUUAGAUUUAAUCAAUUGACGACAAGAAUAAACCUGCUGGUUUAAUGGUUAAGCUUUUGUGUACCUUUUGGUCUUGUGUUCAAAUCCUUGUGAAAGUAAUAGGGAAUGUUUUAUUUUUGAAUUUCUUUGUAAGGUAGUUAGUUUCGGUUGGUUAAAUUAAACUUCCUAGAAACCUUCUAGGUUGGUGGCAUUGUUGUGUUUUUCUUUUUAUUUUCCAUUUUCUGUUUCUACCAUUCCUCUGUUAUUUCUUUAUUUUUCUUCGUUUUGAUUCUUCUCUUCAAACUACCUUCCUUUUUGUUCUAUUAUGCCAAAUUGAUUCUAUAAGGGGUCAGACUAGUCCUUUUUGGUUCAAUUCAUUAUUGGUAAGUUUGAUUUAAAUUUAGUGUCGAAAGUUCUUCAACGUAACUUCAGUCUCGAACAUUAAUCUUAGUAUUUUGAGUUUGAAUAUGUUAUCUGAUUUGUUGUUGUAAUGUCGUUUUAGGGACGAGAAUUCACCAUUGUUACUUCUGCAUCAAAUCCGUAUCAGGUGGGUAUUGAUAACCCAACUUUCAUUUCGAGUUUAGUCAUUGGAAAACUGAUUGUCGACGCCACACAGCUGUAUACCAAGCCAUGUGGUAGGUCGUGUAAGCCACACGGCUAUGUAACUCAUAGUUCAUGAAAAUUAGAGGCACACGCUAGUCGUGUGUGGUUAUGUAUUAUGCAAAAUUCACAGGGUCAAUAACACGAGCGUGUAUCCAGGCCGUGUAACUCACUGGUUGCGGAUUAAGACCACACAGGCAGGUGACACGGGUGUGUGUUAGGGCCAGUUAUCCAAGCCGUGUGAAACCACACGGGCGUGUGGACCAAUAUUUAAAAUUUUUUCCUCGAGCCACAAGCGUCAUUCGAAACAAACGUAAGCCUAUUUUAAGGUCCGUAUGAUCUAAAUUAGGCUAUAUAACUUUAUAUCUGAUGAUGAACAACUUGUGACCUAUACAUAUGUCUGCUAUGCUUGAACCUAAGUAAAUAGGAUCUGCCAGAACAUAAUGUGCUAUUGUCUAAUGUAUGCAAAUUAUCUAAGUGCGAUUUGUAUUUUGUUAAGUUUGUUGGUACACCUUUAUGUGACUCUAUUGCUUAAAAACAUGUGAUAUCUGAAUCUAUUGAAUUGAUUGGUACUGAUUCUGAUUUAUAACCAUGCAUGUGACUUCAUGGCAAAUCUGAUAUUAUUUUUUAAGUUUUGGUAAAUAUGUUUUAUAACACAUGGACUCCCAUGCCUACUAACUCUGUUACUAUAUGAUAACAUGAUUUACAUGCUUGUCACUCUGCUUUUGUAUAUGCAUGCUAUGGCACAUUGCAUGAGACUUGGGAUGAUGUGAAAGAAGGAAGUUUCUAGUAGUUGGUAAUCUGCAUUCUCUGGUGGUUUAUCCACGCUUCUAUUCUGGCAACUUGGCUGCAAUAUGGUGGCUUGACCACAUGUAUUUGAUCUGGUAGUUUUAACUGCAAAAUUCUGGUGGCACGGUCCACAGUCAUCUGUUGGUAUGAUUUGGUUGGACAAGUUCUGAGGGAGCUCUAUUUUGGUUGUAGCGGAGUUGGGUAGGAUGUUUUCUAAUAAAUUUGCAUUCUGAUCUGUUUGAAAAAUACCGCAUCUGCAUAACACACAUCCUCUACGUAGCUCUGUUUAGUUCUACUCUACUCUACUCUAUUCUGUUAUGUUCUGCUCUGUCCUGUCCUGGUUGGGUUAUGUUAUGUUGUUCUAUUAUAUUACACUUGCUAUUAAGUUCGAUGUGUUUACUCUGAUUUAUAUACUAUGUUUUGUUAACUAUAAUUGAUGUUGGUUAUACACUGGGCUUUAUAGCUCAAUUUUUGGUUUUAUCUUUGUGUGUUGAGGUAAGUCUCAGACUUAAAACCGAGCGGCGUGUGGGAGCUCGGUUUGUUUCGCAAUAAUGUAGAAAUGUCUAAUCUUGUGGGUUAUAAUAUGUUUUUGAGCUCGUUUUGGUUUUUACUAAAUUUAUCAGUAGUUUUUAACGUGAAACUACAAAAUCAUUCAAGUUGACAAAAUGGAUUUCAAUUUUCAAAAUAAGACUCUGAAAAUAUGUUCCGCUAAUAGUCAAGUAACCUUUGAACAUUUCUGGAUACUUUUUGAAAUCAGUUUUUGAUGUGUUGAUGUAACUCCUCCAGAUUUUGUCUUAACUUCUAGGCGGGGUUUGGGGUGUUACAGCUCUUCUCUUUCGUUAUUAGUUUUACCACCAAAAUAAGGUUUGAGACGGGUAUUGUUUACCUUGAAGGUGCUGAAUUUUUAAUAUGUUACCUCAAUUGUACCGUAUGGAAAAACGAUUUUUACCACAUAUGGGUUAGACCCUCUUGACAUAAAUUCUGGAGGAAAAAUUUGUGAAUCUAAUUUAUCUAACAAUACUGUCCCCAACUUUGAAUUGGUUCAUUCUCUUCACAUGCACAUCAUGGCGUCGCUUUGUUUCUUCAAAGUGUUUUCUUGAUUUCUCAUCAACUUUCAUUUGCCAUUUAUCUAUUUCGUCGAGCUGCACCAUUCGCUUUUCACUUGUCCCUUGAGUUCUAUCACUUUGAAUAAAAUAUGGCUCCAAUAUGUUUUCAUGAGGGAUUUCCUGCAAAGAACGUUGAGCCACAUGGUUACUAACAUUAACAAAAUAAUCAGUGUCAUCUCACUCACUAGGAACUUUCACAAAAUAAUGUGCUUGAAGAGUAAUCUUUUCAUCACUUACACAAAGCACAAAUUCACCAGUACCCACAUCAAUAACAAUUUUAGUAGUGGCUAAAAAUGGUCGACCUAAAAUCAUAGGUACCUCAAUAUCCUCAUCCAUGUCUAAUACAACAAAAUUAACAGGAAAUGUAAAUUUAUCAACUUUCACAAGGACAUCCUCAAUAAUUCCCCUAGGAUACCUAAUUAAUCUGUCAGCUAAUUGAAUACUCAUCCUAGCAGGUUUUGGUUCUCCAAGACCAAGUUGUUUGAACAUCUUAUAAGGCAUGACAUUUAUACUGGCCCUUAAAUCAGUCAAAACUUUUUCAACAUUUGAACUACUAAUGAGAUAAUGAAUAGUAAAACUCUUUGGAUCUUUAAGUUUGUUGGGUAGUUUGUUUUGGAGAAUGGCUGAGCAAACUACAUUGAGCUCCAUAGUCGACAAGUCGUCUAACGUCCUUUUAUUUGUUAACAGCUCCUUUAAAAAUUUUACAUACUUUGGCAUCUACGAAAGGACUUCAACAAACAGUAAGUUAAUGUGCAACUUUUUUAAAAGUUCAAGAAAUUUACCAUAUUGUUCUUUUAUGUGGUCUCUCUUUCAUGUUGCUAGAUAUGGAACUCGUGAUUUGUAGUCUUUAAUUACUGGCUUAUGAUCUUUCUUACUUUCCUCAACCUCGUCACUUUUCACAACAACUUUUAGUUUCAACUUCUUUUCAAGCUUGACUAACCCUUCCACAAUUGGAACAGUAAUUGCGUGGAUUUUUCUCAUUUGGGUUAGUUUUAAUGUUACUAGGUAAGCUACCUUGCGAUCUUUCCGAAACAAGUUUGGGAAAUUGUCCAAUCUGAUUUUCAAGUCCUUGAAUCAAUGCUUGCUGAUUUUUCAAAGCUAUCUAAUUUGAUUUUCAAGUUGUCCAAUUUUAAUUUUUCAAGCCUAGAAUCGAGUUUCUGACACCGAAAUAAAUUUAGCCACCAUCUCCUUAAGGGUUUAUUUCUUCUCUUACUAGUUAGGUUGCUGAAAACCCGGAGGGGGUUGUGACCUUUGAUUUUCUUGAUCACCCCAAACGAAUUUUUGAUGAUUCCUCCAUUCUGCAUUAUAAUUAUUUCUAUAGGGGUUAUUUUGAUAUCUAAAAUUAUUACCCAUAAAGUUGACUUGUUUAUACUCCAUGUCCAACUUGAAGGAUGAAUAGUCUGAAUUAAUCAUCCCCACCCCAUUCGCAUCACAUUGCAUCACUAGAUUCACCUGCUUAGAAAAAUUUAAACCAUCAAUUUUUUUUCUAUGAGCUUCAACCUGAUUUGCCAACAUAGAAUCUGUAUCAAUAUCAAAAACUCCGACUGCCUUAACAGAUUUUACUCUCGUAACUUGCCACUAACAAUUAUUCAGUGUCAUCUCCUCAAUAAACUCUUGAACUGCCUCAGGUGUUUUGUUAUUCAAUGUUUCGUCAGCUGCUGCAUCAAUCAUCUGUCUAGUCGAGGGGUUCAAAACAUUAUAAAAACUUUGAACUUGGAGCCACAAAGGUAGUCCAUGGUGAGGACACAUUCUCAAUAAAUCCUUAAAUCUCUCUCAUGUAUCAUAAAGUGUUUUAAUAUCAAACUGAACAAAAGAAGAAAUGUCGUUCCUCAAAUUAGCUAUUUUAGCUGGAAACUCGUGAUAAUAAAUUUAACCAUUGUUUUGCCUUCCUCCUCAAAGAAAAUGGGAACAACCGUAAACAUAUGAUAUCAAUAUUAACGUCAUUAAUCUUGAAUGUGUCACAAAUCUCUAAAAAGUUAAUUAAAUGAGCACUCAGAUCUUCAUCUUGCAGCCAAUCAAACUAAACAUAUUGUUAUACCAUCUGAAUUGUGUUCGGCUUCAAUUCAAAAUUGUUUACAGCAAUAGUCAGUCUGACGAUACUCAAUUCAACCCUAAUUAGAUGGGGCUUAGCAUAAUCAUACAUAGUACGAGGAGGAGGAGUUGCAGUAAGCUACUGAUUAUUUUGAUUAUCACCCAUCUCUACAGUAAUAUCCUUUUUCUUAAUCGUCUACUAUAUUUUGUUAAUUUUGCCUUACUUUUCUAAUAUUUCUACGAUUUUUACGAGCAGCCUUUUCAACUUCACUAUAAAAAUUAAUAGUUCUGACAUGUUUCCUCUAGUCAUAAACCAAAAAACCUAUCAAAAUCAAACAAACGAAAUUAGAAUGUAAAAAUUAAAUUAAAAAAUGGCUAAAUUAAUAGAAAUAAAAUUUUCCUAAUAUUUUAGUCAUUGGCAACGGUGCCAAAAACUUAAUUAUAGUCGUAAAACAACUAAAAAUUUGACAAAGGUAAGUGCACCUAUCAAUUAACUGUAUAGCUAUGGUGAGCAAAGAUAUCCUUCCCACGAGAACUAAAAGUACUAGUAAUUAUCGCCUUCCUAUUAUUUAACCAACAAAUUGGAGUAAUUGAUUAAAACUAAAAUUAACUAAAUCAAUUAACUAAAGAACAUGACAAAAAAUAAAUCAGAAAAAUAAACGAUUAACAACCAAGAAACAAGCCUAGACUUCAUCUAUCACUAUAAAUCUAAAUUAUGCAAUUUCUUUACUUAGUAUCUUGAUCCAUAGAAAUUCUUAAAUUAUGCUAAUAUCUCUCUUUAAGAUUAAGAGCAACUAACUCUAGGUUGAUUAAUUAAAAUUUCUUUCUAAUUAAAACUUAUAUUGUCACAUUAACUCGAUCUAUGAAUCCCCCUAUUAGAUUUGACUUUAAUCCGGUAAAUUUAUGUCGCCCUAUUUCUAGGAUUGCAUGCAACUCCACUCAAUUAUGCUAGAUCUACUCUUAAACAUGGUUUAUUCCUCCUCUGAUUCAAGCACAUCAAACAUGGAUUAAUAGUCUAGAAAUAUCAAACCAAGAAUUAAACAUAGAUAAUUAAGAACAAGACCUAAAUAUUUAAUACUUAAAAAGAAAAAUCACAUAAUAGAAUCCAUCCUAGAGUUAAUCUCCCUAGGUAUUUGGAAAAUUAGUUCAUGAUAAUAAUUAAAAACAUCUCAAAGAUAGUAUAACCACAAGGAACAAAUAAACUCAUAAUAAACUUCAAAGACAUCAAAAGAUCUUUAAUCUCUAUAGAAAUCUGUUUCAGAGUCGGCUCCAAUGGUGUUUUUUCAAGUUUUUUUUCUUGAAUAUUUUCUGACGACACUCUCUAUCUUCUUAAUUUUGUCAUAUAUAGGUAUUAGAAUGCCCAAAAAAACCUAAAAAAACACGCUUUCCCGCAUAUUUGGAGUAUAAUUUGUGAAAUCGACAUGGUCUGGCACACGCUCGGGUGGCUCACACGGCCGUGUGUCCAGCUCAUGUGGCUUUUGAAACUUGUUUUGAUUUUCACUCAUUUUGCUUCGGGUUUUUUACAAAAAUAUUAUAAAAAAUAAAAAUUUACCAAAAUAUUACAACUAUUUUUUUAUUUACCAAAAUAUUACAACUUUUCUUUUAUUUACCAAAAUAUUUAAACUUUUUUAUUAUUUACCAAAAUAUAUAAAAAAACAAAAAAAAAACAAAACCUGCAAAAAAAAAUCUGACAAUGUACUGGUCACGCCAAUGGUAUUGGCGGCACCAAAGGUGCCAAAACCAUUGGCGGCACCAAUGGUGCCAAUACCAUUGGCGGCACCAAUUGGUUUUAUGGGGGGUCGGUGGUGGGGCAGAAGAGAAAAAAGGAAAGAAAGAAAGGAGAGGGAAGAAAGAAAAGGAAAGGAGAAGAGAAAAAAGGAAAGAAAGAAGAAGAAAAGGAGAAGAGAAGAAAAAAGAAAGAAAGAAGGAAAGAAAAAAAGGGAAAGGAGAAGAGAAAAAAAAAAGAAGAAGAAGAGGGAAGAAAGGAAAAAAAAGGGAAAAAAAGGUAAUUUUAUUUAUAAAUUUGAAAUUUUUUGUAAUAUUUGUGUGUUUAAAAUUUAUGUAAUGUACAUUAUAGUUAUUUUAUUAUUUUAUUUAGCAUAUAUAUUUUAUAGUUAUUUUAUUAUUUUAUUUAGCAUAUAUAUUUUAUGAAAUAUAUUUAGAAUGAAAAAAAAAAAGUUAAAGUACAUUGUAUGUUGAUUAGGGAAUUUUUUUAUGAAAUUUACUUAUGAAUUUGAAAUUAAAAUUUUAGGAAAAUAGCAUUAAAAGAAAAAUGACAAAGAAGUAUAUUUAAGAAAACAUAAAAUACGAAAAGAAAAAAUGAGAAUUGUAUAUUUAUCGAAAAUAAUAAAAUGCGAAAAAUGUACAUGUAAUAAAUGUAAAACAUAAUAAAUUGAAAAAUGUAAAAUUAUAAAAUAUAAAAUUACGAUUAUUUUAAAAUAAUAAUAUGCGGAUAAAAAAAAUACGAAUAAAUGGCCGAAGUAAGACUGUAUUAGUAAAUGUUUUUAAAAAAUUCAGAAAUAAUUUAUACAAAUAAUUGGAAAAAAUGUAGUGAAAUAAUAUAAAAUAAUAAAAUACAAAAAGAAUAUAUUUUUAUUGAAAGUAAUAAAAAUCGGAAAAAUAAUAAUACGACCAAAGGGCAGGGGAAAGGGUUUAUUUCGGGUUAUUUACCAAAAUAUUACAAAAAAUAUUACCAAAAUAUUAUAAAGUUUUAUUUUAUUUACCAAAAGAAUAGAGGAAAAAAAUGGUUAUGGAUGGGAAUAAAAAGGCGGUACCAAUAUGUGAGUAAUUAUUUUUUAAUCCUUCCUUAUUUAUUAAUAAAUUUCAAACAUUAUGCACUGAAAUAAUGUAAAAUUAUAAAAGACUAAGUUAAUGAUAUUUUUUAAAGUGAUAAAAUGCGGAGAAAAAAAUACGAACAAAUGGCAGAGUGUAUUACUAACUUUUUUAAAAUUCAGAAACAAUUAAUACAAAAUAUUUCAAAGAAAAUGUACUAAAAUAAUUUAAAACAAUAAAAUAGGAGAAUAAUAUUUUAUUCUUUAAAGUAAUAAAAAUUGAGAAAAUUAUACGAGCAAAGGGCAGGGGUAAGGGUUAAUUUUUUACUGCAAAUUAAUUUAAAUAACACACUCGAUUAAUAAAUUUCAAGCAUUAUGCACUGAAAGAAUGUAAAAAUAUAAAAUUAGGAAUUAUGAUAUUUUUAAAGGAAUAAAAUGCGCAGAAAAAAAUACGAAUAAAUGGCCGAAGUUAGAUUUUUUUACUAACUUUUUUUUCAACUUGCAGGCAUCGCAAUGGCUCGAUUGAUUGGAAACGCUGAACAUAUAUCUGAUGCGGCUAAUAACUCGGUAUGAUUUAUUAUUUGUUAAUCAGGAGUUCUAUUUAUUUAAAAAGGAUAUACACAGUAUAUAGAAAUAAAUUAUGCAAUCGUAAUAUUUUUUCUGUUAUUCAACACUAUCAGGAAUCGUACCGAGUAUUAAGGGGCCGCGUGAGUGUUUUAAAGAUAGCUCCGGAUGCACGAUUUAUGCCGUACCUAGAGUUAGCCGGAUUUGGGUCAGUAGCAUUGAUCCGGUCAUCCGACUUGCAAUUUGAUUUAUUAUUCGCGCUAGUGGAGCGGUGGCGUCCAGAGACCCAUACUUUCCAUUUUCCGUGCGGGGAGUGCACAGUGACGUUGGAGGACGUUGCAGUGCAGCUUGGGCUCCCAGUUGGUGGGAGUCCCGUUACCGGACUAUCUUCAUUAACCGAUCCGGCUGCAGUUUGCUAUCAACUCCUAGGAGAGUCACCAUGGGACGGUGAUAAAUUUUUCUCCGUCUUAAAAUUUACAUGGUUAAGAGCCAAAAUUUGUCGACUAUCAAUGACCGCCAGUGAAGGUGAGUUGAUGUGCGCUGCUCGAGCGUACAUCAUGCAUAUGAUAGGGGCACUACUCAUGCCUGAUGUAAACGGCGACAGUGUCCAUUUGUCGUACUUGCCUCUGCUUGCUGAUUUGUCCACGGCUAGGUCGUACAGUUGGGGUUCGGCCGUUCUAGCAACGUUGUACAAGGAGCUUUGUCGGGCGGUAGACCCGCAAGUUAAAGACAUUGGCGGAUGCCUGAUACUGCUGCAGUCAUGGGCCCUUUAUCGGAUGCCAUUUUUGGCACGAGUUAGUCACCAACCCUAUCUAUAUCCACUGCCACUCAGGUGAUAAAAUGAAAAUUGUCAUUAUUUGUAGUCAUAAUAUAUUGAGUAAUGUUACCAACCUUAAACCCUAUACUAUUUUUGGUAGGUGGACGACCCGUCCAGGAAUCAGAAAGUCGAGUGAUGUCCCGAUAUACCGCAUGAGGAUUGAACAGCAUGCUCGGGAAGGGGUAUGUUUCUAUUCUAAUAUUCAUGACAUACAUGGUAUUUCCAUAUGUUACUCACAUGUUUCUAUUCUAUAUGUUACUCACAUGUUUCUAUUCUAUAUGUUACUCACAUGUUAUCGGUCUAACUUGUUACAAUGUUAUUACUCAUGCAGUUUAUAUGGAUGCCGUAUCGGAGGCCGGAAAUUGCAAAUGUUGUACCCCCGUUCGCACUCGUUGAUUCCCACACAUGGUGCACAAACACACCAAUUAUAAAUUUCAACAUCAUCGAGUGGUAUCACGGUGAUCGGGUGCUUCGGCAGUUCGGCUGCAUCCAACCUAUCCCGGAUCCACCAUGCCAGUUGCGGGAAGAUCACGGCUUGACAAAGAGAGGAAGGGUUCAAUUGGACUGGGGAAUAUAUCACCGAAAAUACGUCGCACUGUGGUACGAUCGAAUGAGCCGAAUUCCUCAGAUGGUUAUGGCUACCGACCUGCAGCCAUCUCGAGAGUAUACAGAAUGGUACCAUAGUCGCGGGAAGCCGUAUUUACUUGGAGCGCAAUCGACGAUAAUCCCCCCGUACGUUCAGCAAGUUAGGGAAUCGGAAGCAGACAGCACGAUGGAUCCAGAUCCGACGGCAUUUUGUCUUGCAGAACAGGCAGAGCCCGGACAAUCAGAACCAAAUGAGGAAUCACAUGGCUAUCAUCCGGAUUUGUUGGGCGGUGAACAUUAACCGAGCUAUGCAGAGGGCAAAUAUGCGUUUGAUUUUGAACUGUUCAGCUCCCCCCGGCCGCAGUACGGUAUGCCCGGCCCAUCUAACACGUAUCCGUCGCACUAUGGGACUCAUGAUGGUUCAAUUUCAUCAGCGGCGAACGAGGGACAGGACAUUCCCUCUAUGUUUUCCACGCCCCCACCUGCGGAUGAUGAUGAUGUUGGUUGUCACCCAGGCCGUCAGCGUCGACCUCCGCGUAGGUAUACCCCCCGGACAACACCAUCGAACCAUCAAAUGUAGGGGUUUAAUGCACUCAUUCUAUAACUCGUGUUAUUUGUAUUUUAGAUAUCUCGGAUGUUCUGAAUUUUAUCUAUAGAUAUCAAUUAUUCAAUUUUUUCAUUAUAUUAAAGCUGAAUCGAAUUAUGAAUGCCUCUAUUUUUUCAUUAUAAUCUUAAUAAUUCGACAACGCUCACAUGGUAUAUUAUAACUUCAUCUGGAAAUAAUAUGGAUACAACUUAAGCGUAAGCAUAAGCCGAAUAAGAAAAAUUAUUAUUAUUAAAAUUACCAAUCCCGAUUUCCCCCCAAUCCCAACGACUGUCCGACAUGAAAGUUUCGGUUAGGUCAUUUAUUCCGGCUAUGACCACUUAACCUACAUAUUCCACAGCGGUUUCCGUCAGAUUUCUCCCUAAUGUCCAUCUCAUUACGGAUUCUUUUUGACUGCGGACGACCCCUUGGAUUCCUCCGUAGCCCUGCGUAUGGGAGAAGCUCGAAAGUGAUCCGCGGCACCUCCCACGUAGAUAGGUCCGGCAGGACGGGGAACUCAUUCUCCCAGACACGCAAUGUGCGCUCCAGCGUGUACACAUCAUCCACAUAUUGUUCAGCAGCAAUGUUGACUUUAGCACACGCUGCCACGACAUGCGCACAGGGGUAAUGAAGUGUUUCGAACUUCCUGCACUCGCACCGUCUGUUCCCGAGAUCAACUCCGUAGAACCUAGGUCGACGACCGAUGUUCUCAGUAACUCGAAACGUUUCCAGUCGUCGUGAAUAUAUUUCCACGUUCAUUGACCUCGCCAACCGACGAUUUACGACCAUUGCAUCCCUCACAUGUUCAACAAACACAUGUCCCGCUUGAAUCUGGUCAACUUGCUGCUGACCCAUUCUUGGCAUCAAAGUGGCCAGCCUGUAAAAAGUAGCAGAAAAUACCGAUGCAAUCGGAAGAUGACGUGUUUUCAACAAGACUGCGUUGAUCCCCUCGACUAAGUUUGUGGUCAUGUGGCCAUAACGAAAGCCCUCGUCAGCACUUUGAGCCCACUGCCACGGCUGCAUUGUGCGCAACCAUUGUCGAAAAGAUGUGUUUGUCUGCCCCUCCAUGUCAGUCUCAAGUCGGGUCAUUCUUUACCGGAAAAUAUGUGGCUCUAACUCGUACGUUGCAUACGUAUUAACGAAAAAUAAGUGCUGACGAGUGGAUAAAAUCAAACAUUACAGCUUGUAUUGAAAAUAUAAGGUUAUCAUUUACCCAUUGCCACGACUUGUCUCUUCCAGUCUGCAUUCUUAUAAUCUUUAUGGAAGUUUGACGCAAUGUGACGAAUGCAGUAAAUGGAUCUCCACGGCACACCGGAACGCCUAAUAGCUGCAAUUAAACCCUUCCCUCUAUCGGAGAUGAUGCAAAUGUUAUCGUUCCUAAUAACAUACCUUCGCAGAUUUGUCAGGAAAAAUUCCCAAGACUCCAUGUUCUCUUUAUCUACGAUAGCAAAUGCUAUCGGGAGCACGUUUCUGUUACCGUCUUGAGCAACUGCAAUAAGCAGUCUCUGUGUAUACUUUCCAUACAGCUAGGUCCCAUCCACCUGCACAAGUGGCUUGUAGUGGGGAAAUGCCCGCACACAUGGAUCGAACGUCCAGAACAUCCGAUGGAAAAUCCUUUUUGCCGGCUCUAACUGCUCAUCCGGGCCGUAAGAUAGACUGGUCUGCAACUCAAUCACAGUCCCCGGUACGUACUCCCGCAUAGCAGCUAUCCAACCUUGAAGCUCGUUAUACGACGAAUCGUAAUCCCCAUACAGUUGCUCUAUCGCCAUCUGUUUAGCUACCCAUGCCUUUCGAUAUGAGACUCGAUACUAGAAUCGUGCUUGUAUUUCCGCAAUGAGUACCGAAACUCUAAUGGUCAGCAUAUCCUUCACCAUUGGCAUGAUACAUGCACAAAUAGUUUUCGAAUCAAGUUUUCCAUGAUCUUCUAUCAUACGUGUUGAUGUGCAUGUAUGAGGACCAACAAAUUUUCGUAUCUCCCACAUCUGAGAACUUCUAAUGAAUGCAGCUCGUACCCGCCAAUUGCAGCCUUCCGCUGCCUUCCAACACUCCCCAACAUAUGUUGUUGGAGUAGACACGAAGACUUUAUAAUCCACCGAUAUCUUCAUGCUGUACCGUUUAAUGGCAUAUACGCAAUCUUCUUUGCAACUGAAUCUCUGGCCUAUGAAUAACUCAUCAUCAUCAGAUGUUACGGCCUGCCCGUGAGCAUGAUAUAUUUCAGGGUACUCCGGAAACUCAGAUACAUACGCUGCGUCGGGAUCUAUGAGCGACAUGUGUGGCCCAAGAUUAUUGUGUAUCACAAUACGCCGCAUCUGCUCCCCGACUAAACAAGCGUUGACAUCUUCAGCGUCAAUAUCAUUAGGUACAUCGUCCAAAUCGGGAUCAGCGUCACUAUCGACCUCUCCAUCCCAAUGAUCGCCACCACCUUCUUCUUCGCCGGCACAUUCUUCUUCACCACCAACCAUGUCAACAUCGGGUGUAAAAUUCAGGUCGAUACCGAUCCCACCCAUAGUUGAUUCACUAUCAACGUAUGAUAUUGGAGCCACCAUCCGCGGUUCUUCAGCCCCGUCUUCUUCAUCAGAUGCAUUUUGCUCCAUACCGACUAACUCAGCAAAUAAGUGAAUCGGUGCAUUCUUCUCACUCCCAUUCCCACAGUACAGAUUGACCAUUGUCUCCACGUCUUCGUCGUCUACAAGUUCCAUUUCGACGAAUUUGACCGGGUUUGUCGAAACUGAAAACUUGUAGAAAAUUUUUGAUAUCCUUCUCCCACAACGUCUAUGGAUUUUUGCAUUAAUCCUUGCCUUCAUUUCAUCGAACGAUACAUUUUUAUUAAAUCUCAUUGCUAUUUGUUGCCGACAUUCAAAUACACAUCCAACACUUGUUGUCAAUAUGACUCCAUCGAAAUAAACGCAUACAAGAAACUUAGCAUCCAUCUUCAAUAUUUAAUCUGUCAAAAAAAAAAACAAAAUAUCAUAAAAAAUCUCGAACGGUAACUGAAUUACUUAAAAAAAUUUAUACUCAAAAUAAUACACAAAAUAAUACACACUAAAAUUAUUAAUUUUAUACUACGAAUAAUAUUAAUAAAUUUAUACUCAAAAUAAUACACACUAAAAUUAUUAAUUUUACUAACAAAAAACUAACUAUAAUAAUAAUACUAAUUUUUUACUAACUUGUUUAUUUUCGUAAAUAAAAAUAAUAAGUAACCAUAAUAAUAAUACUAGUUUUCUGCUAACAAUAAUAAUAAUAUUACUAAGUUACAUCUUAAUACAUUAAUAACAUCUUCAUACUAACAACAACAACAACAACAACAACAACAACAACAACAACAACAACAACAACAACAACAACAACAACAACAACAAUAAUAAUAAUAAUAAUAAUAAUAAUAAUAAUAAUAAUACUAACUAAUACUUUUAUUUUGAGUUUUAUUAAUCUUAAUAACUAAACUACAACAAAAAAUAUUACAAAAUAUACAAAAUAAUAACAAUAAUAUAAUCAAUUAUUUUUUAAAAAAAUACCUCCUUUUUUUCUUCUUCUCCGCGCCAACUCUUCUUUUUUUUUUUUGAAUUUUCUCUCUUUUGCUUUCUUUUUUUUUUUUUUGAUUUUUCUCUCUUCAGCUGGGUAGAGGUUGUAUUAAUAAUACCAGUGGUGCCGCCAAUGGUAUUGGCACAAUUGGUGCCGCCAAUGGUAUUCGCACCAUUGGUGCCGCCAAUGGUUUUGGCACCUUUGGUGCCGCCAAUACCAUUGUCCUGACCAGUACAUUGUCAGAUUUUUUUUUUUGCAGGUUUGUUUUUUUUGUUUUUUUUAUAUAUUUUGGUAAAUAAUAAAAAAGUUUAAAUAUUUUGGUAAAUAAAAAAAAGUUGUAAUAUUUUGGUAAAUAAAAAAAAAGUUGUAAUAUUUUGGUAAAUUUUUAUUUUUUUUAUAAUAUUUUGGUAAAAAACUCUUUUGCUUCAAAAUGCUUUCCUAAAUAUAGAAAUAUGAAUUUAAAGGAUUAAAAGCAUAAAAUUCACCGUUUUACAUCAAAUAAUCAUCCAAAAAUGCAUUAAGAACGUGAUUAAAAUAUAUUACUUUUAUCACUUAUCACAAACAAACUGUAUGACAUUAAGGCUGUAAUUAUUUUGGUAGAUUGGGUUGUUAGCAAGUGUUGUACUGAGAGUUUGUAUAAUUCAUUCUCCGAUCAAGGCCGUUGGAUGUUUAACUAAACUGUAUAAUCUCUAGUCUCCAUUACCAUUUACGCUUUACUAUUAUUUAUUACAUUUUUGCUUUGUCAUAACAUCCUCUUACAAUAUUACCUAUAACAUUCAAUUAGAACAAUCUUUAACAUAAGACAUUUUUAGUUUCUUAUACUAUUAUUUAAUUUUUCACCCAAAUAAAUUAAAAAGUUAAAGCACUAAAUAAAAGAGAAGAUUGAAAAAGGGUGUCUUUUAUCUGCCAACUACCUCUAGAUCCUCUAGCUCCCUUGUAGAAGCCAUUGCAUACAUCUUUGGGCAAUCAGCUACUGAAAUUGUAAACAAAGAUGGACGUUGCAGGGUAAUACUUCCCACACAAAAACUUGUCAACCUUGAACAUGACUCAAGUCUUAAGCAUGGGUAACAAGGGUGUAGCCAUUUCAGUUUCCUCUGCUCCUUUUUUGAUAAUCUGCUCCAUCAUAGGGCAUUGUUUCACUUUUAUUUCUUCUAGUUGCGCAAGAUCUAAAGCCAUGGAAACGCUAAAUAUGUAUGUCAUGCUAUUACACUCAUAAACUUCUAAAACCGUAAGUUUCUUCAAAUCCAAACUUCCAUGAAUGUUCUCCUUCCAUAUUUCAACUGACUUGGAAAAUUCUGAGAAGACUAACUACCCAAUAGCUUGGAAACCGGCCUCCAAAAUCCAACAACGAAACAAGGAUUAAAGCUCAUAAAGGUUAUAACGAAGCCAACCCAAACCAUAUGAAAGAAAGAAUGAUAUUAUGGAAUAAGCUAGGAUAACCAAAGCUAAAUUAAAGGAAUAUACAAUAAUACCUUUAUUGAAUACAUUUCUUGGAUAGUGUUGUUAAGGUCACUACACCAAUGUCCAUUAUCUUUUCCACAUUCUACACCAAGAGAUAAUAAGGUUUUCAAGAGUGUAGAAUCUCUCAAGGAAAGAAAUUUGGAAAUCAAUUGAUUUAGCACCAACGCCAGGCACUUCACAAGCUUUUAUUUCAUGAAAAAGGCUGCUUGAAAAUUGACCAUCACUUACCAUUGCAAAGUAAUCACUAUGUAAUGCCAAAUGUUGUAGUUUAGGGAUGACCUGAAAACCAAUCAAAAAAUAAUUUUGGAGUCAAUAUGAGAAGAAAAGUGCAUGCAGAAAGAAUAGCAUUUGUUACAUAAAUGAAACAUCAAAUAUUUUCAAAAAAUUCUUAAUUAAUAUCAUACUCUCUUCAUCAGUAAAUUAAGUUUUCUAAAUAAUAUUUCAACCUUAAUUAUCAUAAAUUUUUUUGUUAAAUAAUUAAAUAAAAAAGUUACUUUUUAGAAUUAAGUGUAAUGAUAAUUAUACAAAAUUUGUUAAUAUUAAGUUUAGUACUUGUAUUGGUAAGGUAAGAUACCAAACAUUAAUAAGAUAUAUCGGCAAACAUAUUAUAAAAUGUUAAAUUGAUUGUUUGUAAAUUUAUAUUAUGAAAUUGAGUCAUAUUAAAGUAAAAUUUAUCAAUAAUUCAUAUUAGAUCAAUGAAUAUGGCUGCCACUAGCCAGCAACAACAUACUCUAGUAGAGAGCAAUUCAACCUGCAAUAAAAGGGCAUCUCCCAUAACUCUUUAUAAAGCAACUGCGCCAAAAUGAUAAGCGAAAUAAUCAAUUUCUGCCAUUAAACUACAUUUUAUGCUUAAGCUCAUUACUAAAAGCAGGAUAUUUUUAACACUCAUACCUUAUGAAACACAAUCAUGUUUGUGAUUCUUUGAAUCUCAUACUUUUCUAAAGCAAAUAUUGAGCUGAAACUUUUCAAUAAGAAUAGUCUAUAAAGUAGAAGGAUGUAAUAAGUUUAAGAAAAUACAAAUUUAAGGCUCUUUUCAUAGUAAUGGAUUGAGUGAUUGUCACUGCAUGAGUGCAUGUAAAUUGUUGGCAUAUUUAUUAUUUGCAUCCGCUGUAAUUUCAUCAUUCAUCCCCUUAUAUAAAAAUGGAACAAAGUAAUCCAAAGUUCUGUUUUUUCCCUUCAAUCAAACACACAUGUAAGGUAUAGACUCACACAGUUAGUUGAUUGGUUGUGCCGUAUCUUUCUCCAGUUUUCCACACCCAUGCUGCUCUGUUCCUCUAAGUAAGGUUAGUUUGCUAGAGAAAAGCAAGUAGUACAACAAGAAUAGGGAAUCAAAUAUCUAAGAAAAAUGAAC